UUUUUUUUUUUUUUUUUUUGUUUAAAAUAUGUGCCCAGCAAGAUCGCAUCGCAGAGGCAAGUUUCGAGUUUCGUUGGUGACAAUCAAAUAUAAAUUAUUACUAUGCCAUUUGGGUCGUUUGAGAGAUUUGUGGAGUUCUUAAUGACAAAUCCAAGAUUCGAAUUAUCAGUUAUUUGGUGGCAGUUUGUAGUUUGUCACCAUCAUCAUUGGAGAAACUAAAAAACAUUUAUACUUCUUUGUUCGUUUGUUCUACAAUUGUUUGUGGGAUAAGAGGGCUGGGACACACAAAUGGGAUGAGCUCCUGAGGCCCUUUUUUUUUUUUUUUUCUUCUUUUUUAAGUAUAAGUGAGAAAUAACGAAUUAAGAGGGUUAAAAUCUCUCUCUCUCUGACAUUUCUUCUCUCUGUACAAUCCAACCCAUCUCCCACGAGCUUGUAGUUAGAGUCUAGAAGCUCAAAGUUUUAGAAGUGAUAGAUUAAAUUAAUCUAGCUCCUUUUUUUUUUGGAAAAAUAGCGGAUUCUUUUAUUCUUUGAGCACAAAAUAAGAAUUGGGUCUGAUUUAUUUUUGUAUGCAGAAGUUUAAAUUUUGUGGAUAAUAAGUUUGGACCGCGAUUAUUUAGCAAAUUUUAUUUACUUGUAUUAUCGAUACAUUUUUUAAUUUUUUUAUUUUACACACAUCACGUAAAAAAGUACUACUCCCUCCGUCCCGUUUUGUUAGUCUUGGUUUUUUUUUUUCACACAGAUUAAGAAAGUGUAAUUAAUUUGGUUGGAAACAUAAAUUUAGAUUAAUAAUUUCCUAAAAUACCCUUAUGCUAAUCACGAAGAGUGCCAAUUAAUAUCAGCUACACCUAAUGGAUUGGUAUUGGAAAAGCUCAAUGUAUUCAAUGUAGUGGGUUAGUAUUUAAUAACAAUGUAUUAAUAACAAGAUAUUUAAUAAGGGUAUUUUAGACAAUUUGAAAGAUUACUACAUUUCUUAAUGGGAAAGUGAACUACAAUUUGGGACAGAUGAAAAAGGAAAACAAGACUAUCAAAGUGGGACGGAGGGAGUAUUAUAUUUUUUUUAAAAAAAAAAAAUUAAUCUUCUGUCCGAACACACUUUGAUGCUAGAAUUGGUUUCUUUACCUACCAGCCUAUUUCAUUUCUAUUGGAGUACUCAUCCUGUGCCUAUCAGUUAAACCAACCAUUGAUCAAGUCAACCCUUAUUUUUUUAACCCUUUUUGGGAACGAGCCAAUGUCCUCAAGUCAACCCUUGUUUUUUAACCAAGUUGUGUUUGGUUUCUUGAGAGAGCUUCGGGCAUAAAAACAAGGAUUAGUACUGGAGAGUACACGGCCAUUUGGAAUAGAAAGGAACCAAAUUUGGACGGUGUAUUAUUUUGCCGAAAUUUAGUUAUUUGCAUCGUCAACACAUUUUUCAAUCACUUUUUAUUAUCUCACAUACAGCGUAUGAAAAAAGUGCCACAAUAUCUUGUUUCAAAAAAUUAUCCCUAAUAAUCUGUUAUCCAAACACACUUAGUUAACUGGAAUUUCAUCGAAUGCGGUUACAAAUAAUGCAUCUAACCUUUUUUUUUUGUUGGUCAAUUGUCAUCAUAUUUAAUUAUCUUCAAUUAACACCAAACUUGGAUAAAAGAAUAAGGUAUACUAUUAAUCUUAAUUAUGCAAAAGCUAGUUAUGUUGGAUUCACAAUCGCACGAAGUAAUUUGGAGUCACAUACAUGCAAAUAAGUUUUAGGUUAACACGAGAAUGAUAUUAAUGAGUGUGUUUGGAUUGUAAGUUAUUUGAAAUAUUUUUACUGUAGCACUUUUUGUGAUGUGAUGUAUGUGAGAUAAAAAGGUAAUUGGGAAGAUAAAAAGGUGUAUUGGAAAUUGUAACGGUGAUGUCAGCAAAUAUAUUUGGCCAAAUAAUUGGCCGUCCAAACACACUCAUUCUUUAACCAAAGCUGUGCCUUGGUUGACAAUUACAAGAGGCAUGAAUGCAUGAUUUUGUAGUAGCUGCUUUAGUCAUUUGCUAAUACUAGUGUGGCAUUGACUUGAGGAAAAAGGAAAGUGGGAAAUACCAUGGAAACUCCAGUCCAGUAUUUGGGGGAUUUUCUUGGACGGUGUUUACUAGGAAAAAUCUGUCCCUAACUAGCACAUGGUAGUAAAUUCGAGGAAGCUCUCUUCUUGAAGCCUAUAGUCAGAAUGUUUGUCUACCUAUGGUUUGGUAGGUUUGUUUUGAACUUUGAGCUUCAUUUAUUUGGUGGUGAUUUUCCGUAAAAAAAAAAAAAUUUAGAUUUUGGAUGAAUAUUAUUUUUAAUUAUUUUUUUAUAUACAUUAAAUCAUUAUAUAUAUAUAUAUAUAUAUAUAUAUAUAUAUAUUUUAUAAAAACUCUUAAAAAUACUCCCUCCGUCCCACUUUGAUAGUCCUAGUUCUUUUUUCACACAGUUUAAGAAAAAGUAAUUAACUUUGUUGGAACAAUCAAUUUAGGUAGCUAUUUUCCUAAAAUACCAUCACAUUAAUUAGAGGACAACUUUAUGGGAACUUGAAUCGAUGGUAAAAAAAGAAUCAACUCUCAUUAAAUGGGGUAGAUUUAUAGUAAUAACAACUUACAUUGAAUAAGGGUAUUUUAGAAAAAUUAAAAUACAACUACAUUAUUCAAUUGAAAAGUAGACUAUAAUUUGGGACAGACGAAAAAAGGAAAAUAGAACUAUUAAAGUGGGACGGAGGAGUAGCAAUCUUAACUACCCUGUUUUGGUAAGAAAUACAAAAUUUUUUUUGAAUCAUUGGAAAACUAUUCUCAUCAUCCACGGAGCAUAACAGUAGUGUCACUAAAUGGUCUAUAGUCUAUACAUACUUUUAACUAAUUUCCUCGGUUCCACCUAUAAAGCCUUCCCUAUGAUUGGCUGAGGAAACAUAUAGAGAAUAAAUAUACAUUGAGAAAUUUAAGUCUGUUUGGAUUGUAAAAUUUUUUCAAAAUUUUUUUUUGGUUUAUAUUUUGUCAACAUGUUUUCUCAAUUAUUAAGUCUGUCCUUAUUUCUAACUAUCUGUUUUAUUUCACAUGAAUCACAUCAAAAGAAAUAUUGCAAUUGGAAGGUGCAGUUAACAAUUUUUCUUUUGAUGUGAUUCAUGUGAGAGUCAGCUCAGUUUUUUGUUUUUUUUUACGUUGAAAUGUUAAGGACUACUUUGAUGGUGUGAUUGAAAUAUAAGGACCAAAACUACAAUUUUCCUCUAAUUUUUUAAAGUCAUCAACUGCAUGAGUUGACUUGUGAGACGACUUUGCCUUUGCACUUAAUUAGUAAAAGUCUUGGGCUAACUAUUUUUUGUUUUUGGAAGAAUAAGAAAAAAAAAAAAAAAGAAUCUCCCCCCGGCCACCGGAGCAAAUGUCGACCGGUCUAACACUGUCAGAAUCAUCAUCCUCUGCCGCCGCCGCCGCCUUCACCAACAAAGACAAUGCCGAUGACCUCUACGCCGCCGUGGACAUGGGCACGAACUCCUUCAAGCUCCUAAUUGUUCGAGCUGACCCUUCCACUGGCCGCUUUCUCCCAAUCGACCGCCACAAGGAGCCCGUCCUCUUAGGCCUCGAUGCCACUACAACCGCCGCCACGGUCAUUUCUCCUUCCUCCGUGGACCGCGCCAUCGCCGCCCUCAGCAAAUUCCAGCAAAUCAUGCACUGUCUCCACAUUCCCUCCUCCCAUUCCCGCUUCGUCGCCACCUCCGCCGUGCGUGAAGCCUCCAACCAGUCCGAGUUUCUCUUCAAGCUCCAUCAAAACCUUAACCUCCACGUGGACGUCCUCUCCGGUCAAGAAGAGGCCGGCCUCAUUUACUUCGGCGUCCUCCAGUUCAUUCCGGUCGUUAACGAUACAGUUCUCACUAUCGACAUCGGCGGCGGGUCGACUGAAAUUAUCAUAGGUAAAAAUGGGAAAACUUUGCAUGCAAUUUCGUUGAAAUUAGGGCAUGUUACUUUAACACAGCAGUUCAUAGAAAUUACGAAAAUGCGGGAGCAUAUUAGAAGUGUGAUAGAUCAUUCAGGCCUAGUUGAUAAAGUUAAGGAGUAUAAGAUUGAUAAAGUGUUAGGUUCAUCAGGAACAAUCAAGGCAAUUGAGGAGGCAGUAUACAAAGGAUAUGCUAAGAAAAAUGCAGGAGAAAUUAAAGAAAUUGAUAAAAGGGAUUGGAGAUUUAACAAGGAGGAGUUGAUUGAGCUGGUGGAGGGUUUGGGAGUAAAAGGGAAGAAAAGAAGGGAGGGAUUUUUCAACAAGAGGGCUGAGUUUAUAUUAGCAGGGGCGGUUUUAUUGGAGGAAAUAUUUGAGGGGCUUGGCAUUGAGGAAAUGGAGGUAUCCGAGUUUGCAUUGGGUGAGGGUGUUGUUGCAGAAAUGUUGAGGAAGGUUUGUAAAAGAUCUAGUGAUUGGGAGGUAGAUGUGCGGUGGGGAUCUGUGGUGAGGCUGGUGACAAGGCUCAAUACUAAGAAGAGGAUGAAGGCUUCUGUAAUGUGUGCUGCGAUAACAAAGGUACAAAGAAAAUGCAGUAGUUGUUUCUGGAUCCUAUUCAUCAUUUGUUACACAGAAAAAAUUGGUAUGUUGUGGUGUGCUUGCUGAUCAUGGUCACAGGACAUAUUUGAAGGGAUAAAGAAGUGGAAUGAGGUUGAUAAUCAGCUAGUGGUAUGCUUUGAGGACAAGGACCUUGAAUAUCUUGAAGCUGCUUGUUUGCUUCACAAUAUUGGUCUGUAUGCUGGCAAGAAAGGGUAUCACAAGCAAUCUUAUCAAGUCAUAAUUGUGAGUAAUCCUUCUAGAAGUUCUAUUUUGAACUUUUCAUUUGCUAGCGUCUUGGCAGUUUUAGAUUGCUAUAGAACAGUAACUCGAUAGUUAAGAAUUAGAUGCAUAAAACUAUCAAAUAUGAUGGUAAAAUUUACACCAAAUUAGUCUGUUGUAUUAUGAAGAGCUUUAUGAUGUUCAAUAUUCAUGGUGGAGGCAUGUAGAUGUAGUCAUGAUUAACGGAAAUAGAAUUGAAUUGUCAUGGCCGCUGCUACCAUAUAAAAGAUAUAAGAGGAAGAAUGUCUCUGGCUAAGUUCAUUUUGAAACCUUCAGCUUUCCUUCUUCUAUCAAGCGUUGAGUAUCCUGACAAUGCUUUGGAAUAUGCUUGUAGCUGUUGAAAUCUCAAGCUUUUGGGUGGAGUCAUUUUUUAUUUAAUUAUUCUUAACUGUGUUAAGUCCUAUUCUGAGAAGCUUGAACUUACAUACAGAAUGGUAAUCAUCUUCAGGGGUACAGUGACAAAGAGGUUAAGGUUAGUUUUCUUUGCUUUAAUGAAACUCUACUGUGACCUUUCUUUAAAUUUGGCAUGCUCAUGGCACUUUUAUCUGCUUUCAGUUAAUAGGACUACUUGUGAAGCAUCACCGAAAGAAAAUUCCCAAGUCUGAUGUUGAUUUGCUGGAGGGGUUUGAAGAAGAGGUAUCUGAGGAAAAUUAAUCCCAAUUCCUGUCAUGAUGAUGUUAUUGUGUCUAUUUAAUACUUAUAGCCUCUAACUUUAAAUCUUAGGUGAAGCUUAAGUUCAGAAUGCUUUGUGCUAUACUACGGCUAUCUGCCAUUGUACUGCAAUUUCAGUCUGUAGGCAUUCAAACAUUCAAAUUUUCAUGUUCUGAUGAAGGUUUUAGGCUGGUAAGAUCUGCUCGCUACUUUGUUAUUUCUUUUGUUUGAAUUGUUGUACAGGUAUAGCUUUACAUGUUUUGGAACUGUGCUAUCCAAAUCUACCAGCUAUAGAAGUAUCAAUUGAUUCUCAUCUUUUGUUCAUCACUGAUUGUGCUUAUGACAAAUGCAUAGUAUCUAUUUGCUAUGUUGUGUCAUGAGGAGAGUGUUCAGAACAAAUGUGAUCAACCCAGGUUUCAGACAGUUAUGCAUCCAAGGGCUAAAAAUAAAAACCGUAAGACUUCAGAUGAAACUGCUGUAAUUUUCUUCUCCAGUAAUAGAUGAGCUGGGUACUGCUAAUGGUGUCCGUUCUACAUUUCAACAAAUUGUGCUGGAAACUUUUUCCUUCUAACAGAAAUAUACAGUGCAAGUAUGCCAAAAACUCCUCAGAAACAGCUUCAAGAAUAAUACCCUAGCUCUGAUUGUUUUAUGCUGGUUCUUUGUCAUAAAUUCCCCCAGCAUGCUAAUGAUUUUUAUAUUUCCAUGCAAUAAGGCUUCUUUGGUAGAAAUUUUGAGCUGCAAACUGAUUACUCUAAAUGCAAGCAAAAGUCAUUUCACAGACUGUGAAGCUCCUUUGAAGGAAUUAGUACAAUAGUGGUGAUCAGCUAAUUGAUGAUUAAAAUUCGAGCAUUCUUGGGUGAACGAUAAAAACUGCAGGAUGUGAUGACUGGCGCCCUUUUUUAUUGCAUAGUAUUCUGCUUAGAUUUUUUAUUCUUUUUCCAUGGAGAGGAGAACUAGCUCAUUCAUACUUCUAUGGCUUCUCGAAGAGCCCUGGCUGCACGUAUUUUGUCUUUUGAUGAUCAGUUGUUUGUCUUGUCAUGAUUUUGUUUAGUGGAGUUGAUUACAUCCAUUCUUUCCAACUUGUGCUGUCUCAAGCAUUUAUUCUCUCAAAAGACAUGAUGAUAGAGAAUUUUGAUGAUUGAUUUAUACCGAAGAGAUAAAUUGGUGUUUCUUUUUGUUUUUUUACCUUAAUAUUAUAUAUGUAUAUCAAUUCACCAGAAGAAGAAAAUAGAAAACCUAGGUCUUUAAUCAUGGUCAUGAAAGUAAACAAAUUGAGGAAAGGGCCAGAGAAAGGUGAACUACAUAAACACAGUUUAUGUUGAAAUUGUUGUCUUGAGCUAUGGAGCUCUCUUGAUCUUUCUGCCUGGUUUAAGAUUUACAGUGUUAAGGCUUCUAAAUGUUCUAGUUGAUGGUUCUUAAUGGGCAGGAUUUGUUGAUCAACUUUUUCUUUCACGCAGCAGCAAGUGAGAAAAGGGGGUACUUUGGAGCCAUAAACGGGCUCUAUAUCAUUGAUUGAACAAACUACUUGUAAAUUUGGUCUCUCUUUGAGUUGUUUGCUUCACCUUGUUAUGCUACCUAUAAUAACUUGACACAAUGAUGCUCCAAUGUUGACUAUGUGCGCCUUAAUGUAAUCUUUUACACACUUAAGAGGAAAGCUAACUCGUUGACAUGGGUACUAAUAGCAAGGACCCAUGUCAUUGCUCUAAGGGGCCUUGCCAUUUCUUCACGAGUGAUGGAGGGGUAUGCAUUUAAUUCUAUUUGUGUUAAUUUUCUGUGUAGACUUCUAUGCCAGGGCAGUUUAGGAGAAAUGUAACUAGAAAUGGCAAUACUUUUGAUGUUUUCUUGACAUUCUGGAAUUGCAGGUUCUUGGUGAGGCAAGAAACCAACCUCAAUCAUCUUGUACUCUACAUCCAUUAGCAGGGGACCUCAAGGAAGAGAUAGACAAAGAGGUGGAGAACUUCAGAAUGGUAAUCCAAAUAGUCUCUUGAUUGUGCAAGUUCGCUGUCUUUGUCUUAUAUUCUUUUCAUAAAAUCUUGCUUUGUCCUUAAAGGUUUUUGCAAAGCAAUUGUCAGUCAUGAUUCCUUGCAGCACUUGAUUGUGGUCAGAAGAUGAAGAUACUUGCAAAACAAGGGAUACAUCACACUGGUAAUUUGUAGGUCAUCUGUUGUAAUGAUUACAUAGAUCCCGUUAGCAUCUUUGUCUUGUAACCAGAAACUUAAAUUUGGCUAGAAAACAGAUUCUCUUAUUCUCUUUAAAUAUGUAAAUGCUGGCUCUCAUAUUCUAGUGUAAUAGCAAAUCCAACAGCGUACAUUUUUCUCCUGCGAGUAAUUUGCCUUUUAAGAAUUCUUUGUUCUUCCAUUUGUUUUCCUCCUUCCGCCUAGUCCUGAAGUAUAUGCUAUUAGUGUGACAAGAGUUCUAGAAAAAAUGCUCCAAACUAAGAAGAAUGCUGGUGGAAGGUAAAAUUUCGCGGGUUCGAUUUCCUUCGGUUGCAUCUAGCCUUCAUGAUCCACAAACUUUCCACGAAUUGGAUGCUUUGAAUACACAAUGAACAUCACUGGAGACCUUGGAACAAGAUUAGUCUUAUCUCUAUGGGAAGCUUAUGGAAUUUAACUGCCUCCCGAUCUCCAUUAUCCCAGAUAAUUAGAGUAUCAUCCAUCCCUCAAAUUCCUUGUUCAAGAUUCCAAUUAAUGCAAAACGCUGGUAAGAGAAACAAGAAAUUUUUUUUUUUUUUGGUUGGGGGGUUCUGCAUCCUAUUGUAACUUUCUGAAUGUCUGUGUUGUGGUUACUGAAAUUCCCUUUUGGAGAAUUAUCGAGCUUUCAUAGGGAAGAUAAAAAAUAUACAGUCUAGCACUCAAGUGCCUGCCUUUACCUCUUGACCAAUUCCAAAUUUGUUCAGGAGAACAGUAAGGUUUUGAAGGAGCUCUACAGUGUGUUUGGAUACCUCUUGACCAAUUCCGAAUUCGUUUCGGAGAACAGUAAGGUUUUGAAGGAGCUUUACUGUGUGUUUGGAUAGUAAAUUAUUUGAAAUAAUUUUAUAAAAAAAUAUUGUAAUAUUUUUUUUGAUGUGAUGUAUAUGAGAUAACUCUGUCACCAUUACUGCGUUGGAGGUAGGCCAAUUGAUCAUCGCUUUUGUCUUCUCUGUUGCAAUCGCGUUUUCAAUCUUGUUGGCUUAUAGUGUACAAACACUAUGAUAAUGCAUUUUAUCUCCUCUGAAUAUCAAAGUAAAGUAAGACAGCCACGCUUUCAAACAGUUAUCCUUAAUGAUGUUUAGAUGAUCCCAAAUCCCUCAUGCAACAUGCAAAUUACUCAAAGGUAGAAACCAUCAUAAUGAGUCUAAAGACCUUUUGAAUUGGGGGAUAUCCCGGACUCGGGGCACGGACGGUUGCACCUGCAACCGUCCCUGCCAGUUUUGGUCAUUAUCAACUGCGCGUAAUUUUCUUUGUACAUCGUGUAACUUUACUUGCACAUCGCCUAACUUUAAAGCAAAUUUUUGUGGGACCCACACAUAGCGCGGAAAUCGAGUUACAACUUGUUAUCUCAACCGCACAAAUUUUUGAGGGGGAAUCUGGGCCGUUAACCGGACAGGGACGGCCCCAUUUCCGGGAUAUCCCAUCUGCUGCCCCUCAAUUCUGGGUACUGUAGCAAUGAUAAUAUUUUAGCCAUAUGUUAGUAAUUAUUGGUAUUUUAGCCAUAAUACCAAUGAUAAUGUCCCAAGAUAACUGAAAAAGGGCAUCUGGCCUUGGUGUACUUUGAUUAGAUGCUAUUGAAGGAAGGACAGAGUGCUUGUUGUUAGGAUGUCAUUUCCAUAGGCCUAUAGGAAGUGGCUGGUGAAGAAGUCUUCCAUCGCCUUGCCAUAUGCCAACACAAUCUUGAUUGUGCUAUAAUGUCGACGAAAAUGACAAGUUCCUUUUUGUAACAUUUGAGAGCAACAUGUCAUUUGUCCCCAUUUUUGCCAAUUUGGCAUAUGGGGAUAAACUAAGAGCUGAGGCUUAUCUUUCUUGAAAAAGACGUCAUAUCAAUCUAGUUAUUCUAACACAUAAAUAACAGGUUCCCUCGUGUGCUUUCUUUCUCCCGAAAAGGUUAAAAGGCUUAGGAGAAAGACAGCCGACAGUCUAAUCCGCCUUUUUUUGUACCCAAAAGAAGACAAAUCUUUUGUGUUUUGGCUUCUAUGCAUUUUAGGACUGCGGCCAAGUCGAAUCGAGUUUUAGGUUAAUCGAGUCGAGUCUUCACUAAAUUUUACUAAAUUUGAACUUGAACUCGAGCUCGACGAGCCGGUAAUUUAAAACUCGAGCUCGACUCGAAUCAAUUUAAAUCUGUUUUCGAGCCGGCAAUAAAAAUAGUUAUUUUAUAUUUUUUAAAAAAAAAUAAAAUAAUAUUUUUUUCUUAAUAAAUAAUAAAAUAUUAAGGAUAUAUAUAUAAUUUUACUAUUAAAAUAAAAAAUAAAAAUUAUAUAUAUACACUUAAAAUAUAAAAUAUAUAUACUUAAAAUAUAAAAAAUAAAAAAUAUUAUAUAUAUAUAUAUACUCGAGCUCGCGAGCUAACGAGCUUAAUAUUUUGAACUUGAGUUCGAGCUCGAUUUCGAGUCGCACCAGCUCGAGUUCGACUCGAGCCGCUUGCAAGCGGCUCGAUUUGUUUGCAGCCCUAAUGUAUAUGUCUAUUGCUCUUGCUUCAUAUCAAAUAACCAAUUUGGCCGUCGAGGGAGUUUUAAAAUUUCACUUUGUUAUAAAUCGAAGAACCAAAUUUCUUAUCUUACAUUCUAAAAACAUUUCUUCAACAGGUGUAGAGAUACUUUUCUGAACCGGUGGUGGUUCAUCGAAUUAUUCUUAACUUCUUUAGAUCUAUGUACUCAUCUGGAUUGGUAAUGGCUCACCGGAUUCGCCUUGAUCUUUUUAGAUCUCUUUCUUCCUGGUGUAGAAUAGGAGUAGCUGCAGCAAUUGUAUACUUCCUAUCAAAUAGUGCACGUAGAAUAGACAAUUUCACUUGAGUUUGUGCUAAAUGAACGAUGUUGAGGUGUAAAUUAUAGUCAAUGAUGUAAUUAAGCAGAAUACGAAAGGCAUUAAGCAAAAUUUCUCUCAUGAAAUUAUACUCUAGUGAAAUUACAAAACAAAAAAAGACCCAAGUCAAUUGGAAAAUCAUUUACACCAAGAAAACUACAAAUAUUUUUGGUAAGCUUCAAUGAAAGAAUAUGGGAUUUUGUUGCACUUUGUAAUUAUAGCCCAUCUAAGCACCAUCGCGCGAGUGAGUGAAGCUGGUCAAACAUCUUGAAAGGUGAAAUAUUUAUUUAAAUAAAUUAUAAUUUAUUAUGAACUGUUUAUACAAACUUCACGAUAAAAGCUGUGAUAUUUUGGCUAUUUAUUUAAAUAAAUUAUAAAUUAGUAUCAAUUAUUUAUACAAUUUUAUAAGGAAUUAAUUAUGCAGUUCAGUUUCCGGCCCCUUCCCCUUUACACAAAUGCUUAAUCGGUUGACUUCCAUCUGUCCCACGUCACCAAAAGCUAGCCCAAACGACAUCGAACGCAGACAAACUCAAAGCAAAAGUCAAAAGAACCCUCAAUAAAAUUCAAUUAUUUCCUCCAAGGACACAAAUCCAAACCGUUAGGCAACGUUUGGAUUGAAGGAAACAGUAGAGAAAACGCGAAUCCAUUCAUCUUAUAUAUUAAAAAAAUUACAAACGAAAGGAAAGGAAAGAAAAUUAUCAUGUAUUAGUUACAUUUUAUUCAUAAUUUAAAAAACACAUAAAGAUUUUUUAGAAAAUUUAAAAAAAAUUUUCAUUAAUACUGGCAUUUUUUCCCCUCCGUUCCUGCUCACUUUUGGAUAGAAAACAAGUCGACAAAAAAAAUAACGAAUGACUAUUGGGAUUACUAACUUUGAAUAAAAGUACUUAUUAAUUGUUUGAAUGCUUUAAUGUAUAUUAUUUGUAAAUGUAGUUCAAUAAGUACUUAUUGUAUUGAAUAAUAUGUAAUUUAAAUUUUUAAAAAUAUAUUUAUCUCUUUAUUUAGUUCAUAAUAUAGGAUAAAACGAUUAAAUGAAAUAUUUUAUUUUUUUAAAACAUAAAAACUAUUUUCAAAGCAUUAAAUUUGGACUUUUGCUAGAAGUUCUUUUAACACCAAACCUCUACCCCUAAUUUAUAAAUUGAUAUUCACCAAAUGCUACAAAAAUACUUUCAGCACCCAAAAAUACUUUUUUAUCAAAAAAAAAAAAAAAAGGUCUAAAUCUUAGUGCCCAAAAGCAGUAGACUUGCGUGCCCAGCGCAAACUAGCAUUAUUGACCGCUUCAAGAAAUCCCCAGAGAACCAGAACUCUUGACUUGAGAGGGAGAGAGAAAGAGACUAAAAUAAAAAGCAGAGAAAAUUCCAAAAAAAAUCACAUGAGGAAAAAACACAGAUGGAAGCUGGACACUGCAACAAUUUUUGCUAUUUUGAGUAUACAAACACCUUACCUUUGCCUUCUUCUCUUUACCAGUAUUAGGGUUUUUGCAGAUUUUUCUACUGCAACAACCAAAAACUCCAUUUUUCUCUCCAUUUUUUAAGCCAUUUUUAAUUACUUGAAAUUACUAACAAACUCACGCAAUAGUAAAAAUAUCGGUUUAUCUUCGAAAACACAGGACAGCUCCAAAGGGGGAAAAAAAAAACAGCGGUUAAAGAAAAAGGUUUUAAAAAGUUGUAUUUUUUAAUGUUGAGAAUUUUCUAAACUAUCACAUCAUAUUUAUUUGUUUAUUCAUACUGGGAUUAUUUUACUACUAGCAUUGAUUGAUAGAACCGACAUGAAAAAUAUAUUCUGAAACAUAUACAGAUAUAUACAUAUUAUAUAUACACAUACGACACAUUGUUGCUGCAGAGGAAGGAGAAAGGGGAGAAGCAUUGUGAAGUACUUCUUCAACUGGUGAGUUUUUCUUUUGUUUAAGGUUUGCUGUUUGUUUGACAUCGUUAUAGUUGUUUAUUAAUAUCAUCAAAAUGUUGAUAAUCUCGUAUGCCUGUUAGUUAGGAGUUGUGUGAUGUUUUUGUUAGUUUUUAGUCAUCUGUUUUGUUAAAUUUUUCGUUUUUGAUGUAGUUCUUUAACUGUUCCAUUGGGCUGUUUAGUUUUUAUUGCAAAGUAAUAAGUUUCUUUGUGAUGAUGAUGACUCGUCAAAGGGUUGGAAAGCUUUUCUCCAUGUUAGUAAUGCUGCUGUUUAUGCAUAUUAUGUUCCUUUACCUGUUUAUCGAAUGCUACAGAAGUACUGUAGACAUAUUUUGCAUGUUUUUGGAUGGUUGUCUUUCGAGAUAUUACUAGCAUAAGUAAAUUCAGCUAAGCCUCACUUUUUCCCUCAUGGAACUUUCUAGGAUUCUUGUAAUUGAUCAAUCAAUAGUUUCAGUAACAGCAAACUUUUUUUUUGGUGAUCAAUUAUGGCCAUUUUUUUAUUUAGUUAUUUUUGGCUUGCGAAGAAGUUGUGGAUUAACUCUCUGGAAAUUUUUCUUACAUCUUGUAUUACGCAAAAUUGCAGCGUUUUGAUGGAAAAUGUUUGUUAGGAGCAAGUUUUAGUAACUAUGCAGAUCAAUCUGUUUUCUUUCCUUAAUCAAAAGAACCUAUAAAGGGAGCUCAUUUUGCAAUUCCAUGAUGUCAAUUUCAUUUGCCUCAAAUUAUGCAAUGCUUUUCCUCUAUCAAGCAAAAUCUAAAAGUUGGAUUCUUGUAGUGACUGCAUUCAAGAGGAAUCUGAAGAGUGGCUUUGUAACUUCUGCCAUUUAAGAUAGCUGCGCUGCUUUGAUAUGGCAUUUACAUGAAGAACGAGUAAACAUAUAUUUUAGCGCAAAGAGACGAGAGAAUGUUGUUUAGCCUUAUCUUUCCUUGUUUUGAUAUUUGUGGCGGAGUUAGAGUGAAAUAAACAUAAUUGGCACGGUGCAAAAGGUGAAGGCAAAUGUCAAUCUUGUAGCUUACAGAGUACUAUUUUUCACCAUAGCAUGAUAAUGAUAUUAUUCUCUAUCUGCUGCUGUGGUGGUCCUAUGAUAGAAUUGAUAUUUGGGCUUGUUGCUAAUGUGCCACUGGAGAUGUUUUUAUCAUUGUCUAUGACAUUAGGAUUUCUUGCCAGUGUUUUUGGUGCGAUCAUCUUACACUUGUUACAUCCUGCAGUAUCUGAGUUUCUUGCCAAGAUGUUAGUCUUCUUGUCCUGUUGCAAGUAUUGUUGUCAAUACCAUUCUAUGUUUUCCUGUACAUUUUUGCUGCUAUUAUAUCCCACGGUCAUUCACUUCACGCUCAGUUCUUACUGACAUUUAUUUGGUUGCUGGCUCUUUUGUUUUUUCUUUUCUUUUUUUUUUUUCCUUCAAAUUUUUUAACGGCUUUGGGAAGCAGCUGUUUUCUCAUCACAUCUUUGAUAGGUAUGGUUAUUGGAAUUUGGGGGCAGAGAUUGGCUAAUGGUUGUCAACCUUGGUCAGACUAAGCAUUAGAGCAUUUCCUGAGUUUUUAAUCUCCGCUUAUUUUGCUUUUCAUUAAGCUGUUUGAACUUGCUUGCACCGGAGGUUCUCUACACCAGUAUAAACAUGUGCCUUAGGACAAGUCAUAAGUUUCAUACUAGACUAAUUGCUGAUACAGGCAUUUGUAUUGUUUAAGCCAAGCUUGUGAUAGUCACUAGUCUCAUAUAACCCAAGUUUGACUUCUAGGUGAAGGAGAAUACAUAUAAGGUUCAUUGCCCAGUUCUUCCCCAGUUAAUCUGGAAGGUGAAGAAGAAGAUUCAGUAUGGGCAUUUAGAACUUCUCUGGUUGCUGACCUGGCUGCAAUCUCAAUCAGAAAACUUAAUUGGCAAGUCUUAGCAGCAUACCACAACAAUUAACAUGUGGUAUUUCUAUGAAUUUGGUCAAUCAGCAUUGCUAUGGACAUUUUCAGAAUACAAUGUUGUAACAUCUAGAGUCUUUUUAUGCUACCAAAUUACAAAAUUGUGUUGAUUUUUGUAAAUUUUCUACUUGAAAGAAUAGUAAUUCUGAAAUCAAAUUUGUUACCUUCUGCAGUAUGUGACGUGCAUAGUGUAUAUGGGCAGAAUCUGAAUCAAGUAAAUACUUUGUUUGUUUAGCAGGAAGACUAUAAAAAAUCCGUCUGUCGAAUUGAAAAUCUCUUAAAUUCAUCAAUAGUAUUAUGUUUUAGAUGGUCCCAGGAAUGUUGUCCUUGCUUUUAAGAGGGUGAGAUGAAUUACUGUUUGUUGCAAUUUUUUGUGGUAAUUUUAUUAAUUACCUCCCACUGUGUACUCUUGUUUGUAUUCUUGGUUUCUCUCUUCCUAAUACGUUAUGGUUACCUACUUACCUCCAAUUGAGGCUAGUAUUUCUUAGUUUGAUUGUUUCCCUUGUCAAUGCCCUUUCUAUAAACAAUCAUCUGCUCUUUCAGGUUAUAGACUUGUGCUGGAGGUCCUUCAUAUUGUAGAAGAUAAGAGCGGAAACAAAUCUCUGCCUGUCUUGGUAGCUUGGAGAAGAAGUGUUUAGUAUUACAUUGAUUGCUGGAACGAAAUUUGUAUUGGAGCAAAUGAUGUUUCCUUAUCUGGAAUGGUGUAACAUUAGAUUUUUUUCCAGGUGAUUCACUGUGAGCAAAAUGUCAGCGUGUCUGAAUUCUUAGUAGUGCUUAUUGGUCCUAUUCAGAACUCUCAAUAGAAUCCUAUAUUAUUAAGUUAAGGUGAAUAAUUAGAUUAAAGGCACCUGCUGAAAAAAGAAUAAAAAAAAGACUAACUUUCUUCGAUAGAAAAUUUUUUGGUCACCUCCUGUGUUAAGUGUGUGUUAUGCACUAAAACUCAUAAAUUUGCUUUCCAACUUAAUACACGUGUUUCGCAUCCUUGAGGUAGUUGUCAUGUAAUUAAAUUUGGUAUGUCAGAUACAAUUUGAUAUAUAUAUAUAUAUAUAUAUAUAUAUAGACAACAAAAUCAAAUGCUAAAGAACUAUUUUUCUCGUCUUCUAUGACUAGGUCGUGAAUUUAGAUUGCAUUAUUUUCUCUGAAAUUUCAUUAGAACUUUCUUUUAUUUUUGCAACUUAUAUUAGCAUCUCAGAAAUUUGUUAUCAUGUAGGACCUUCAUCUUGUUUACUUAAACAUGACGAUGGAUGAAAGGGUUGAAGAUCUGCAGAAUCGAGAUGAAACUCAAAAAGCAUGGUCGAUAUCUGCACAUGCCUUUUCCGAUUUAUCACAUGUCUCACCAUUGAUGUUUCUGUACCUUCUAAAAGAAUCAUACACAUGCGGUAAAAUUCUCCAUCCUUUUCUGAAUUUGAAGAUAUUUUAAUCUACCUCUUUUAUGGAAUCUGUUGUUGCUGAACCUUGCUGAUUGUUUAAUUCCUCUGUUGAAUUGAUGAUCAUUAUCAGGAUUUCAUUUUGCUUUCUUUUUUUGUUGAUCGUCACCACGCAUCUAUAUGGAUCUAAGAGAAGUCACAUUAGUGGCAACGUGAUGGGAGGCGGCAGGGUUUGAACGCUUGACCUCCCACCCUACAAAUACAUGUGGUGGCCAACUACUUUAUCUUCCAUUGGUUAAUUGGCUGAAUAGUUGUAAUAAUUGAAGAAAGUCUUUUUUGAAGGAACAAUGGUUUUAUAAUUUGCCAUAUUCAUGAUGGUGGAAAAUAGAUGUGAAUCAUGCUUGGAUUGUGAGAAAAUUUUUACCCAAAUCAUGAAGUUUGCCAGAAAAACUGGAGGAGAUAACAACCUUUUAUCAUGGACUAUGUUAGCCCUUCAGAAUAUAUUCUUUAACCACCUAAACUGUGCCUUUUGAAGAAGCUUUGAAGAGUUUACUAAUUACACUGUUACAUCUUACGCUCGGAAGAAGACAGGGUAAGGUUUAGAAACGGAGUAAGAAAGAAACAAAAGUAAGUUGUUGGAGAAAAUGAAAGCAUCAUCCAAAAAGAGUUGAGUGUAGCAUGAGAAAAAUAUAUGAGAUGAGAUUUGUAGUAGCACUCGCCAGUGCGUAUGACAAAUUGUGGGGCUAAAGCACGAUAUCAGACUAGUCGGAAUUUCUUCAUUGCUGUUGUAGUCAGUUAGAUAUGGAUUUCUUUGAAGUUUGGCAGAAAGGCUAUCCACUUCCUAUGCUGCUCAUUAUAGUGUUUGGUAAGCAUAUGAUGGUAUAGAUUUAGCCACUGUCUAAACUUUAAAACAUUGUUAUGUUCAUUGCAAGCAAUAGUGACAAUAACUUGGUUGUUUUACUCUGAUAUCAAUUGAUAUUUUGUAUCAAUGUAAACUUACAGUUGCUUCUUUUGUGGCCAAUAAAUUGAAAUCUUUAAGGUUUGCUGAACUAGUUUACAGAAGCAUCAUAAUUACUGGAUUUUAUUGUGAAUUAUAGUAAAACUAUUUUAGAUUUGAAGCUUAAGAAGCAGCAGUACUUUCUGCUUAGGUUUUGACAGCUUUCCUUUUCUUCAGUACUGCCAUUGCUAUUUUGCAAUGUUUACUGCAGUUACUUUUAUUUCCCUGUAUUUCUAUUACAUAAAUAUUGCAUUUAUAGGUGAACUAAAAGCAUCUGCCAAGUUCCGUAGACUUAAAGAUCAAGUCCUUCAGGUCCUACACAAUGGUCCCAAACCUGGACCGGCCAUUUUUGUCGCUCAGUGUCUGUACAUUUUGCCCAUAUUUGAUACAUAUCGCAACGGAUUCAGUCACUUGAUAAUAUCUGCUCUUCAUCACUUUUUGAAAUCGGGAACCACUCAAGAAGACAAACUAGAAGCAAAACUGCUAGCUGCCAAAUUAUUCCUGCUUAGAGUUCAAUACAGUCUGGUUCAUGAUGAAAAGGUUUUAGUAAAGAUCCUUGAAGUAUUUGAUGUAAGUUUGACAGAUAUAGAGAUAGGCAUGCAAGAUCUGGAUGCAAAAGGUGACGUUAGUCCAGACACAGCAAAAGUACUUAUCGAGCAGUAUGUAUCCAAGCUGAUAGAAUCUGAGUCAUUUAUGACAGCAAUUUCUUUAUUAGAACGCUUCUCCAUUCAAUGGUCUGGAGAGCCUUUCCUACUACAGAUGAUUCAAUGUAAUAAAUUUAGAGCAGCAGAAAGGUGGGCUACAUUUAUGGGAAAACCAAUGCUGCAAGUGCUUGUACAGGAAUAUGUUAAGCAAAAACAACUAAAGCCUGCUUAUGAUGUUAUAAAGGAAAACAAUCUUUGCCAGGAAUUUCCAGAAGUGUGUCAACAAUAUAAAGAAAGGCAAGUUUAUUUUACUCAUUUCUUGCUGGCAUCCUGCAUGUUUCAAUCUUCCUAUGGUCAUAAUUAUUGUAAAAAUUUACUUAUUGUACUCGUCAUAUUGAUAAGUAUGAGUUCAAAUUGCAGCUUGCUAAAGAAGCUAGCAGAACAUGGCUGCUGGGACAAUGCAGAGGCAAAGGCGAAAGGCAAUAGACAAUAUUUGGAGUAUGUGGUAGGUGGUGUACACAAUAGAAUUAGAUUAACUCCGUGGAUAAUUUUGUCCUUAUUAUCAAGAAAAACAAAGGAAAGGCUUUUCCCUAAUUCUAAGUUGUUAGUGCACAAUAGUUUGCUGAAACCAACUUACUGUAGUUGACCAAUGACUUCCUUCUCUUCAAAAAUAGUUGUCUGAAAUUGGAUUACCACCAAAGUUUGGUAGAGUAAUUGUGUAAGUUUGUUGAGAUCCAUUGUGGCCUGGGUACUACGUGGAUAUAUUUCUACUUUCCUCAUCUUGGACUUCCUCAAUCCUGUAGGAUUAUUAUGGUGUUCUACAACUAGUGCCAUAAUAAAACAUAUCAAGGGAAAUAUAUGUUCAUCUUCCCUGACAACUAUUCUUAUGCUCAAAUUAAGAAAAGUUUUGGAGAUGUUUCAUAGAAGCUAUCGUAAACAUUUAGUCAUGCUUUGCUUAAUGAAUAUAGAGGUGAUGUGUCUGAAAGGAUGAUAGAGAAGAAUCUGUUUUCAAGUUUAUUCUGGCUUAUUGGUUAGGAUUUUGCUUUAGGAUUGAGCACGUCAGUUUACCAUUGUAUCAUCCUUUCACUGUGGUUCAGGUUCCAAAAUGUAAAGGUCCUUGUAGUGGAAUGAACUUGUUAAAAAAUCUUAAGGUGAUUAUUGUAGCGGACAGUAAUUGCUCCUUCAAUUUGGCUUAACCACAUGACAGUUGCAGGAAGAGCCUUGGAGAAGUUCUGGUGUUGUGGAAUUCGUGGUACUGUGGGUCGAUUAAUACUCCGCUGAGGGAGAGACUUAUUUAGAAUCUAGGGACAUUUUUUGCUUGGUGUUGUUAAUAAUUUUCUUUCUUUUCCUUGUUUGAUCUUCUCAUCUCUGAGGCUGCAUUUGCCCAUUCCAUCUGUUCUUUGUCCCCCCCCCCCCUCCUAAAAACCCAAAAAAAAGUCCAUCUCUUCCAAUUCACCCACUGGUAUUAAUGUGCACCACUCAUGUGUAUGUCAUUUGUGUGUGUGAGAGAGAGAGACACACAUGCACAACACAGAGAGAGAGAGAGACAGACUGAGAGUGAGUCGAAGACAGCUAGAGCUUUUCUUAGAAUCCUCCAAAUUGAGGAGCUUAUAGACUGGCUAGUCACUUCUCUCUUGCACUAAGCCACUGGGCCCACAGCAAGGACUAAAUUUCGUUAUUUUUCUUCCAGAUGGUUUGAAUGUAUAAUCUGAUAAAUGUACACCAUUAAGCAGAGGCUGAGAAAUUAGUUGUUAUAUUUUCUUUUAUUGAAUAAUGAGUCACUACCUACCUAUUCACAAUCGUUGACAAUAAUUCUUACUUCAGCAUCAUGCAUAUAUAAAGUUCCACAUUUUUGCUUUUAAAAGAAAUAUUUGCCAUUAAAAUUUCACAUGGUGGAAAUGUUAGUAACUCCAUACAGUUCUUUGGUAAACUUCAUAGAUACAGAAGUUGUGGUCUGCAAAUUAUUGUGCAUGAUUUUUGAUUUUUGCUUCUCUUGAGACCUAUGUAGUUUAUAAUAUUUUAAUAAUUUUUACAUUUUAAGGUAUAUUUGGCAAUGGAAGCAGGCUACGUAGAGAAAGUUGAGGAACUCUGCACGAAAUACUCACUUGAAGGUUUCGAGAAUGUCAAAAGUAAGCUGGAUCUCCAUUUCUGUACUUGAUUCUUACAGCUUUCUUAAUAUGCAUGAGAAACAAAUUGGUUAAGUGUUACCUGCAAUAAUUUAUUCACUCCAUUCUUAUGUUUCUAACUGGUUCUUGCUUGGUUUACUUAUAAGGCAAUUUUAUUACUUAAGAAGAUGCCAUCAUGCAGAUUUGAUUUGAAAUGAAGUAUGUUGCAUCUGCUUACUAUGACUGCUAUUAAUUUGUAAAAUGCAAGUGCAUUGAAUUGUUUUGGCAAUGCUAAGCCACAGCAAUACAGCAUAAAAGUUAGCUUAAUGGUUCCGAGCUGGCUAACUUUUCUUUUCACAUUGUUUACAUUUGUGAAUUCGAAAUCCUUAUCUGUUGAAUCUUCAUUUGAGUUGACGAUGAUGCAAUGAUCUGAAUAUAGCGUCUUUUCCUUCGCCUCUCAUCAGUUGUUUUCUGUGGUUUUACAUCUGCCAUCAUCCAUGCACAGCUUUGAACAGCUUGUGCAUUGAUAUUAGGUGGAGUGGAGAUUUUGUACCAGAUAAGCAAAGAAUAACACAAACUCAUAAAAGAGUUAGUAAAUGCCUUUUAAAGUUAUAUCCCCAGUAUCAGAUAUUUAUUGUAUUCACUGCAUCGAUUUUCCUAUCAAAUUCCAUAAAAUACUUAAGUUAGCAGCCACUCAAACAUCCUGUCCUUUUACAAACAAGGAAAUGGUUGGUUAUGAAGUUUUAAGGUUUGAAAGAAGAAUUUGGUAGUACUUUGGAUGCAUGCAUGUGCUUGUUUCUCUUUGGGGUGGGGGUGGGUGAUAGAUAGAGAGAGAAAUAUAAUGGAUAACAGAACCUUGUCAGAAUAGAUAUAGAAGGUCCUUUCUUCUAGUCCCUCUCCCAUUGCCCAAGUUUUAACAGGAGUGCUUUAUGUCAUGAUUUGCAAGUUUCAUUUGUAAGAAGAUAUCUGCUCUGAAACUCCGCCGGCAUUUGGUCUCAAUUUUUAUCUAGGCAGAGCCGCUUUUUCUGCUUUACAGAGAGCAUGAGAUGAAAGCACCUAAUUUUGAAAUUUUCAGAUCACGAUUCCUACAAAUUUUCUUUUGCGUUUGUAGAAUUCUUCAGUAGUCUUCUUGUUAUAAGGGUACAUCAUCCACUUCAGAUACCAACGAGAAAUUAUUAUUUGUUUGUAGACCAUUUCAUUUGUUUAAUUAACAUUAGAAUAAGUAGUACUUAAAUCUAUUUGCUUCAUUAUUGUUUUGCAGAGACUGAAGCAAAUCUCAGAAAGAGUUGCUACCUGCAUCUUGAUGACCUGUGCAUCGAGGAUGUAGUGUGGGUUGAUGAAGUAGAUGGUUUGCGUGAUGCUACAUUCCACCUUGAGGAAUUUAAAGUUGUUGGCCUUGAUUCUGAAUGGAAGCCCAAUUAUGAAAAGGGCAGUGCACCAAAUAAGGUAAUGCUAUGGAAUUGUCUGUUUUGGUGCUUUUAAGAAUUAUGCUUUGUCACGAAGACUGAUAAUUGUUUAGUACAUGAUUUAGCUGGAGAUGUUUUGAUGCUGAUGACAAAUGUACCUUAACUAAAUUGUCUUAACUUCUUAAAAUGCAUCCGCCAGAAGGAUGCACGGGUAUUUUCUUACCAAAACCCUUACAUUUUUAUGCUAGAAUAAAGAGAUUUUUCUCAAAUCCUGCUGCUGCAUACGAGCAACAAUAUGUUCUUAAUGUUUGCCUGUUUAUUGAUGGAUGUCUUAGAAAGCAUUAGUUCUCUCUAUUGUUUUCUUCUGCUUGGAGGGUUCAAAAAUCUUUUCCAAGUUAUAAAGAAAAUGCUUGAUGUUUCACGGAAUUUAUUUUAUUUUAUAAGAGAAAGUGAUCUAAAAUUUGUUGCUCAUUGGCAAAACAAAUAAAUAGAGGACGAAUUUGGAGUACUAACAUAACUUCUACUUGUAAAAUUAGUGGAUGAGGAAAACUGAAAGAAUGAAAUUGUAAGUUGAUUUGAAAAAAAAAAGGGUCUUAUGACUAGUAGAGAAAAAGGAUUCGUUAGCAUGUGCUCAAGAUAGUAUGAGAACAAAAACUUUGCCUGUUUAGUCGAACUGGGGAAAAAAAAAUGGUCUUAUGACUAGUCAGGGAAUAUCCUUAUUCACUAUUCAGCCUUGCACAAGCUUCUAUCAUAGGCCAGGAGAGGAAAAAUGCUUCUCUGCGUCAUGGUGGCCUUAUGUUAACCUCAGUUCUUAACCUGCUACCCUCUAGCUCUGAGAGAACUAUUGUUCCUAAGGUUGACAUCACUAAAUUGGAUCAUUGUUAAACCGUCUAUAUGCAUUUCAUGUUCAUCUGUGGUUUGUUUGCCAUAGAGAUGUACUGCAUAAAAAAUUUGUUACCCUGUCUAAUUGUAGAACAGGCAAUUUUCUUGGCUUUAAAAUAUGGUACAGUCCUUUCUCUCCCAGAGUCUCCAAUUUCACAUGAUCCUUGACUCCUCAUCUAUCCUCUCCCCCUCCCCAACAAAAAAAAUAACCAAAAAAAAGUAAUUCCUUUGUGUACCUUUAGGUGUUUGGGUGGGGGUUGAGGGUGGAUCUUCUGCAAGAAGCAAAUUCUGUUAUGUAGCAGAACAAUUUUGUGGUGUUUGAUUGGUAGUAUGUUUCGAAAUCUAACAGUGCUAGACAUGCUCUUAUCGUACAUAUUGCUUUUUCUUUUCUUUUUUUUCUGCAAUUUCUGCUUGUUUUGUGAAUUUUCAGGUCUCUAUCAUGCAAAUUGCUUCGGAAACCAAGGUCUAUAUACUUGACCUGAUAAAGUUAUAUGAUAGUGAUCCUGAUAGUUUAAAUCAAUGUCUAAGCCGAAUAUUGCAUUCUUCCAGGAUUCUGAAACUUGGUAAGUACAAAACACUCCGCAGAGCUUUACAACAUAAUUAUUCUUUACUUGUACAGAUAUUUGCUUCUUCUUUAGUCAGGAUUAAACCAGUUAAUAUUCCUGAGUUUUCUUGUACUACAUUCCCAUUUUAUGAUCUGACUCGUAUUUAUUACCAUGAAACUGUUGGAUUAGUAUUGGCUUAUCUGUAUAGUCUGUUGUACCGAACCAUUGUGUCCGAUUUUAUCUAAAAGCACUGCAAUUUCUUUCUUUUCUAAAGUAGCAAGCAAUUUCUGUCAUAUUUUGGUAGUUAGAUUUAUACGUCAAAAUGGUACUGGUGGUUUUGACAUACAAAAUUUGUAGGCUACAAUUUUCAGUGUGACAUCAAGCAGCUUGCUUACUCUUAUCAAGAUUUGCAGUGCUUUGAGCACUAUGAGAUGCUGCUUGAUAUUCAGAAUGUGUUCAAGGAACACCGUGGUGGUCUCUCUGGUCUAGCAGAGGUGAUUCCUAAAUUUGGCAUCUUCAAAGCAUGCUCAAUAUAGUAUCUCUUAUGGCAUUCCUUCAAGUUUCUUUUGCUUAUAACAUCUCAACAUAUAUUGGCAUCAAUUACUGAACUUUCUGAUGGACAUGAAUAAUAUUAAUGGAUACAGAAAGUACUGGGACGAGGCUUAAACAAAACGAGACGAAAUAGCAACUGGGAGAAGAGACCUUUAAGCAUUUAUCAGGUGUGUGAUCUUUUAACAUUCUUUUUUAAUCGAUUUAUGUGGACUCAACUUUUACUCACAAGUAAGAACAUAAAUCUCAAAUGUCAAUGGAGGCGUGGACCUGUUCUAAAUACUGGUACCACGCUAGCAGAUUGAGGGAACGAAGUGCAUCUAUUAAUCUUUGAAGUAUCAACUUGGGCCAAGGUUCUCAGCAGUUAAACCACAGUUGUUGCGGAUAGAUCACUGAUUUAGAUUCAAUGUUUCAUACUCAUUAACUUUUGCGGCUCUGAUUUUCAGAUUAAUGUCAUGUUGAAUGCUUGUGCAGUUAGAGUAUGCUGCUCUUGAUGCUGCAGUUCUCCUCCACAUUUUCCGGCACGUUCGUGACCAUGUACAGCCUGCAGCUGUUGCUAAUGAACACAGCAAAAUUGAGUGGAAAUCUUACAUUGUAAGCACAAUAUUAUCCCUCGCCGUGCUGUGCUAGAUCAUCAAUACUGAAGAAAGGUUUGCACAAGGGAAGGGGCAUACCCCUUAUUGUGCUGGUUAGCUAUAAGUUAAGUUUUCUCAAUUUCCUUAAAUAGAUGUUUACCUCCAAAACUUUUCAGGUUUCGCACAAGGACAAAGUUGGAAGAAUCAAGAAAAGGAGCUAAGAGCAGAAAAGAGAAUGUUCCUGAGGCAGAUGAGGGUGCCCUGAAAUCUUAACAAUUCACCUGAGGAACAUAAUGCUAGGGACGCCUAACCUAUAUUUCAGCCGAAUUCUCUUUUAGCUGUGACAGAUGUUUUCUGUUUUGACAAAUAGGGGAAGAUCUUUGCUAUAAUCUUUAUGAAUGUGCAUGUGAAACUUAUUUAGCAGGGUAAACAAUGCCUGCAAAUGAACGCUUUUAGUCCUCAAACGGACUAAUUUUUUAUUUUCUAGACCCCAAGAGGUUCAAUUAAAUGAGUAAAUCUAUGGGGGCUUAAACGAUAACUCCCUUCCCUAAUCUUGUGUCUUAGAUAAACAAAGAUCUCUUAGCAAAUUCUAUAUGUUGGUGUAUUUUCUUGAUUGUACCUUUAUGUAUACGCUGGCAAUUAGAAAUCUUGGUCGUUACCCCCUUUUAUAAUUUCCACCUACGGUACAUUCGAAUUCUAGUCUCAUUAACGUCUUCUUGGGGAGUCAAAGAAUUCUAAAGGAGUCAAAGAAAUCUAACUUUUCAUUACAACCGUUCCUUGGCAUCUCUGUAUAUAUCUAUCUAUAGCCUGAACUCUCUCUUCUCCUCCAUCUCCUCUCAACAAACCAUCCGGAGAAGAGAGAGACAGAGGAAGAGGAAGAGAGAGAGAGAGAGAGAGAAUGACCGAGUUCGAGGCUAGUCACCGGAGGACGGCAGGGCAAACUCUAGAAAUCAUCAAUGGUAAAGCAUAUGGUGCAAACAAUGUAUGUGUAAUCCGAUCAAAUAACCAUUUUGCAAACCAAGCUGGAAGAUAUCAGGUUACGGAGCCAACCAGCACCCCAGCACCACCCCCACCACCACCAACGUCGUCGUCUCGUUCGUGGAUCGAUUAUCGCCAAUUGAACAGAAGAAAGAGAAUUGCUACCUACAAAUAUUACGCAUACGAAGGCAAGGUGAAGAAUUCUAUCAAGAAAGGUUUCCGUUGGAUCAAGCGUACCUGCAGGAAAAUAGUUCAUGGAUAUUAGGUAUAGAGCUAGACGUGAAAUAUUGAGUUAGAUGACCAUGAAAAAGGGUUUGUACGGUUGGGGUACAAUAUCACUUUCCAUGCUGCAUGCAAGGUCCAUAUUUAUUUGCGUGUGCUUUUUCCUCCUAUUGAUAUCUUCUUUCAUCGUCCAAUAUUCUAUGCUUUGCAGAACAUGAGAUCUCGCAAAAUAUGUUGGCUUUAUUUUCUCUGUUUCCUUGAGAAUUACGUAGAAGAAUGUGGUUUGCUCAUUGAAUAUGAGAUCAAAAUCUACCCCGAAUGAGGGAUUCAAUUGCCAGAAAGCGAUCUUGGCAAGGGGUAGAUUCAUAUUGAAGCUAUUUCCGUUGCUUCUCCUUUGUUUUCCUUUUUGUUUUGGCACUUUUCAUGAUUUGUAUGUAUUACGUUUUUCCGAAUUGUUGAAAUGUAAAAGUUCAAGCAGCAUGGCAUAUUAAUAUCUCCAUUAUGACAUGAUACAUAAGCUCUGUAAUGUAUGAUUCCACUAAUAUUAAUCGUAAUCAAUUUAUGUUCGUUUAUCUUUCUAAGUUUUGAUUAAUUUCAUAAAACCUAGGAAUGAAGAGCUAGAAAAUGUUGCAAAUGGGAAGUUGUCGAAAAAAAAAAUCCAAAACAAUUUUCAGGUUCUUUUCUGUUUGGGUAUAUCAAUUGUUAGAAAGUUUGCAGUCAAAUGACACAAUAAUCAAAAGUAGUUUAAGCAUGUUCCACUUUCUUCCUGUUAGGUUGGAAUUCUACACCUACUAUUCUCAUACUAUAGCAUAUUGGACUGCUAGUCUAGAGACUUUACUCGAUUUAGCGUGUCAUGCCGCUUAUUUUACCCAAUCUGUGUUUCAACUUCCAAAUCUACAUGAAGCAAAUAUGCCUUCAAGCACUUUUGAUUGCAAGAAAAGUGUGUUCAUAUCUAAGAAUGACUUACUUGACACAGUAUUUCUUUCGAGUUUAUAUAAAUUUGUUAACUCUUUUUGUCCCGAGAAAGUUCCAAGUGUAAAGGGGGAUAAAUAAUUUACAUCGAUAAUCAAUGUGUUCAUGUGAGUUCUUGAUAGACUGUUGGUAACUCACGAAACAUCAAGUGAAAUAGAGAAGGACAAAAAAUCUACACAACCCUCAAACUAUUAAAUUGAUCGAUUUUUAGCCUUUCAACUAUUAAGUAUAUAUUUUUGCUUCUCGAGCUUAUAAAAGGGUAUGUUCUCCACCCUUUAAACUAGAGAUAUAUUUAGAAACCUCCCAUGAGGUAUAUGUUAAUAUCACUUGGCAUCUUUGAAGUUUCAAAAAUAUCAUUUAACUCCUACGUCAGUGAGAUGUGACCAUUGAUCACUAUCAUAGCAUACGAAUUGAAAAAAUUAUCUUCACUAAUUUAACAAUUUUUGGGCAAAACAUUAUGGAAGAGAAAAUUUUUAGGCAAAACAUAAAUCUUGUGUUAUAAUCAAAUUGGUAGAAAAUUUAAUAUAAGACAACAUAAAAGAGUAAAACUGGGAGAAAAGUGAUUAUUACAAGAAUAUUUUAAUGAUAUAAGAGUGAGAUUGUUAUGAAAUAUACGAUUUUAGGGGUGGUUAGUGAUAUUUUUAAGUUUUAGGAGUGCCAAGUGAUAUUAUUAAUACACACCUCAUAGUAGGUUUUUAAAUCAUCUUUAGUCAAAAGGACGGAGAACAUACCCUUUUAGAAGUUUGAGGGGCAAAAAUAUGCAUUUAAUAAUUGGAGGGUUAAAAAUCAACCAAUAUAAAGAACUAUAAUAGUUUGAGAACCAUUCAGAUUUUUUGUGCAGUAAAGAACUAUGGGUAUCAACUCUUCAUUGAUUAAAACUAGGAAUAAAGGUGACAAGGGCCGAACGGUUACCGGAAAACCAUUCAAGGCGAUUUUGUGUAAAAUAUACGUGACAAUGUAUAACUGUAAAAUAAAAUUUUGUAAACCCUACACAUAAUGUGAAAAAUGAGGUAUAAGAUAAAAUUUGAAUCUUACAUUUUUUUUAGCCAAAUCUUGAUCAUGAAUUUUCGGGAUCUGCAACUGUUCCUGCCUCUCUUCCGGGAUAAAGGUAUACAAGUGUGUUAUUUUCUUUUUGGUUGUUGGUAUAGUUGCCUGUACCCCCACCCCAUUUAGUGAAGUUAGAUGUACUUCCUUCCUCAUUUCCUCUUAGGUUUGUUGGAGCUAAUACUUAGAUUAUAGGUGUAACGAUCUAAUUAAAAUGCUAACAAAAUGGGUUUUCAAUUUGACUUUAUUGGGUUUACUAGUGGUGACGUUUGAUGUAGAUCUCAACAAUGAGGGGGGAAAAAUGCAUUGAACAUAUGUUUGAUUAUAUAGAUCAACUUUAGCUACUGUUAAAAAAAAAUAAUGCAUUGCCCAAAACUUGUUACUUGAAAUCGUUUUAGGCUGUGUUCUAUAAUGGAAGUGAGUAAAAAAGAAAAAAAAAUCUGUUUAUUUGUUUAUAAAAUUUUGAUCCAACAAAGAGGAGAAUGUUUCUCAUCUGCCUUGUUAAUUAGUUUUGGAACAAAUUUACUAGACCUCAAAUUUCACUUACAAAACCAAAAGAAUCACAAUUAGUCCCAAAAUGUAAACUUGUAUCACAAAUCCAUAUAGUAAAUGCUUGGCUUAAAAUUUGUGAAAAACAUUAGGAUGCAAUAUAUUGACAGGGAUAUUAACUUGGUAAUUGUGAGGUCUCGAAUUCGACUUUCAAAUUCUUCUUUUUCUCCUUUUUCCCUUGUAAGAUUUGAAAUCUCGCUAUGAACUCAAAAGCAACAACAAAUUCAAACUUAUUGAGAAUUAUUCAAAUUUCCAUUUUAAGUACAGUAGCUGAUUAGUAGAGUUGUUAAUCGAAUAGGGUAGCUCGCGAGCCAAGCUCGACUCGGCUCGAUAAGAGCUCGACUUAGCUCGUUUAUUGAGAGAAACGAGUCGAGCUCGAGUUCAACUGGAUACUCAUUUAAUAGACGAGCCGAGCUAUGCUCGACUCGUUUAAAACUCGACAGGCUCGAAUAGUAGGGGUAUUAGCAUCAUUUCAUUGUGGAUUUGAUAUUCUAACCUAAUUCAUUCUCCCGUUUCAAGCUCAAUAAGCUCGGCUUGUGGUUUUCACUCAAGUUCGAGCUCGAGUUUUGAGCUUGAUAAGCUUGACUCGAUAGAAAACUCGAGUUCAAACUCGAGCUCGAAUUUUCUACCGAAUACACCAAGUCCAUCUCGAACAACUUAUGAAGCUCGAAUUACUAAUCGAGCGAACUCGAGCUAGCUCGAUUAUCAUGUGCUCGAGAUCGACUCGGCUCGUUAAUAGCUCUACUGAUUAGGCCUCGGCUUACGGAUUCAAAGUUAAGGCUCUAGAAAUUAGGGGUUGGAUUUAUUUUGAAUACUUUGUCCAAGAUUAAAAGACAAAUAAAGAAUGAAAGAGAAAUUGUCCUUAACAUUGAACAGCUGGAUUAGCCCAAGCGGCUGCGGGAUAGUUUUGGGCUUUAUGUGGAUCGUAGGCAGGGUAGAAGUCCAUACUAUGAUCAAGCCCAAGAGCGCCAGAACUGUUGCUAGACGACGUCGUUCAUGCUGGCCAAAGGUUCAUGUAAAACCAUGAAGCUUGAAAUUUCUCAUAUUAAAAUUUCAUAAAUCAACGCAGGUUUGUGAAAAGCGCGGGAAACUCAAGCCCCAGGCCACCGCCGGCGACUGUGAAGCCCCGGAAACCUAGUUUAAUGGACGAUCACGAUCUUGAGCUCGAAAAAGUGAAAUUAAUCAGCUUAGCUGUCGAAUUCGGAUUCGAUGAAUACUCCGCUAAGAAAUGCUUAGAUCGCCUCAUUGAACUCUACGGUAACCCCAAUUCUUCCUUUGCAUUGUCCAAUCAUUUGAUUUUCAUACUGUUAUAGAGUAUUGUUUCAUUCUAACUUUGUUAAUUUUUGAAGGCGAGGAGGGCAGAGAUUUCAUCCGUGUGGAGUAUUGCGGCGAUGAUUUUUUGGCGGCAUUGGCGGAAUCCAUGCGAGACACGGAGGACUGGGAAAAUGAUGAUUUUAAAGCAAUGGAGUCUGAGGCUUGUGGAGCUUUGGCCGAAAUGCUGGACAAGGAUAUUAAAAUUCGGGUCGAAAGAAAUGAGGAAAGAAAGGAUAAUGGGGGUGUUAUCUCUGAAAAUUCUGUUCAGGUUAUUCUAGAUUCUUCUUCAGGUGAUAGUGAGAAAGAUGACGACGAUGAUGAUUUUGUAAUUCCUAGAAAAAAUGGUGGUAACAGCAUUACAAUUCAGAGUCAGGGCCUUGAUAGACGUUCGAGUAAAAGAACUUCGAUGUCUCAGGUAUUAGAUGCUUUUUUGAGUCAGUUUACCUUUUUCCAAUUUAAUUGUGUAAAGUUGGUAAUUAUAUUUGAUACCAUAGCUUGUUGGGGGCGCGGGUGAGGCAGGGGCAGAAGGUGGAGGUUUAUUAAGGCAGUUUUGAGAGAAGUUUUAUUGGAGUGAGUGAUACGCACCUUUUGCAGUAGUUUAUGCUGAGUCAAUGGACAAGUUAUAAUUUUACGCUCUGGAAUUAUGUUAAUUAUCUUUUGUUGUAGUCCACUAGGAAUUUGGAAAAUAACGGGCAUUGUGUGGAGGUCCCUUUUCCACAUUUCAAGUGAGUUAAAGUGGGAUUUUUGAGAUUAAGGUUUUGGAAUUUGCACGAUUGAAACCAAAAAAUAUAUAUACUAGGAGAUUUUCAGUUCUAAUUUAUAUGAAGCAAACUUGAAUAUUUUUUUUUUACCAAUUUUUUUAAUUCAGGUAACAGAAAAAGAGAAUCAUUUGAAUGUGCUUCUGUGUAGUAUUUUAAGUAAAUAAAGCUCAUCUACUCUGUGCCUUUGAGUUGUAUUAACAAGCCUUCCGGAUUUUAAAUGUGCUGACAGACAUUUUCCUUGAAGGAGUGCAUAAGCAGUGUUACACCUAGUUCAGUUUCAUCCUCAGGGAGAUUUUCAGACAAGACAAAUAACGAACCCAGGACCUUGACAUAUGAGGAGUUGCUGCAUCUGGAUGACAUUGAAUUGGCUAACGUAGUUGUAUUUGGAAACCGUAGCUUUCGGCCUUUACAGUAUAAGGCUUGUAAAGCAUUUCGGGAACAGAAUGACUGCUUUAUCCUCAUGCCAACAGGAGGUGGUAAAAGCCUUUGUUACCAGGUCAGGUUCUUGCUUUCUUAAUGGGCUUUCAUCUUGCAAUUUUACCCGAAUUAACAGACAAAAGUUUUUAUAGAAAUGGUUGUCUCAAAUUUAUGAUUUGUAACUUGUUGGCCAGUUUAAGUUUUUUCCGAAUUCUGCAUUGAACUUACAGCACUCUAAUUUGCUUUAUUUGGUCAAGAAAUUUAUUAUUUUAGUUCCCUACAAUCGUUAAGCAAGUGAUCUCUGCAGGCACAGAAAACUGCCAUAGGCAUUAGUGUUUUUAUUCUUCUUUACUGCAAAAAAGGUCAAGCAGUCGAACUAUCUUCUUGUUUAUUUGGUUUUGGUAUGUAUAUGAAGCAUGAGGAUAUGUCUUGCCUUAAGUUGGAAGAAUAAUUUUGUGUCCUUUUUCUCCAAGUUAUAUUUUUCUAUUUUUGUUCUGUUGUAUAUUUGAAUUGGCAGCUGAAAGAGGGUUUCUUGUAGUUGAUUUAUUGGCUACAAAGACUGCCUUCUCUAAUUGACUUUCCUCUGACACUGGGGUAGUUAAUUAAGGUUGCUCUUUAGGCUUGCAGUCAAACAUCGAUUUGUUCCAACUUAAUGUGAGAGUUGAAUGAAUAUGGUACAUAACUAAAUUAUAUGUGUGAAUGUGUAAAGGAAGAAUGGUCUUUUUUCAUUUAGGUAUUAAACAUUGCUGUGUCAACAGUCGCUGUUCUUAUAAUGUUAUUGCACUGCAGCUUCCAGCCAUUUUACAACCAGGGGUUACAAUUGUUAUAUCCCCACUGCUUUCCCUCAUUCAGGACCAAAUUUUCACCCUGAACCUCAAGUUUGCCAUACCAUCUACUUUUCUAAAUUCUCAACAGACUCCUUCACAAUCUGCAGCAGUAUUUGAAGAAUUAAGGCAAGGAUCACUUUCUUUCCCCUUGCUAUAAUGUAUGUGUUUCUUUUUCCUUUGAUUUUUUUCAUCUAUAGUGAAUAAGACUCACAAUUUCAAGAAGUCAAACAUCAUUUGUUUCUUUUCUUUAGGAACUUGCAUCCAAAAUUUCCAUUAUCUUAACAGACCCUUUCUUCAUAAAAAAUUUUCGAGUGUUGAUUUUUCUCUAUUAAUUGCUUCAAUAGCUAAUUGACAACUUGUGCAGCGAUUGUCUACGUAAUGGUUCUUUGUGUUUGAGUAUGACAGUUAUCAUUCAUUUUAAUGUUUCCAGGAGAGUUAGACCAUCAUGUAAGCUACUUUAUGUAACUCCUGAAAGAAUUGCAGGAAAUUUACCAUUUCAAGACAUCCUAAAAUGUCUGUACAGGAAGGUAAGCUCUAAGUCCAUUGUUUAGCUUGUCAGAUCUGUGAUUUAAUGUCAUGUGCUUUUGGAUCAGUUAUUCUGAUUUAAGAUACUUUUGUAAUUUGGCAGGGGCAAUUGGCUGGAUUUGUUGUUGAUGAAGCACAUUGUGUAAGGUCUGUGUGUGGGAAUUCUUCAGAAAAUCAGAGUAGAGGAAGUGUCUUAAUCAUGAAUGCCAAAAUUGGAAACCAAUAAAGAAAUGAAACUCAUGUCUGACGUUUCUAAUUAUCAAUUGCAGUGUAUUACCGAAUGGGAUAGAUGUAUUUCUUAAAUCAAACCAAAUGGCUGGAAAUUCUUAUGUUGCAUCCCUUAAAAGUUGUAUCCAAUGAACCAAUUGAAUUUAGUAUACUAUUUCAGGAGAUAUUUACUAUCGUUUUAGGGAACAUAGAAGAAGGAAAUUGCGUGAAAACUUGAGAGCAUGAAAAUAUAAGUGAAAUUUGGGACAAUAUCUGGCUUGUUCUGAUGAGGUGAAAUGACCAUCUAGUAAUCUGGUUUACUCCACAUUUCAGCCAAUGGGGACACGACUUUCGUCCAGAUUAUAGAGUUUUGGGAUGCCUCAAGAGGAACUUCCCCAGUGUUCCUUUAAUGGCAUUAACAGCCACAGCAACCGAAAAAGUUCGUGAGGUAAAUUUGUGACUUCAUCCCAACAUUGUUGUUUGUCUUGUUUGCUGUUUGUCUUAGGCUCAUUUUUCUCUGUAGGACAUCUUAAAUGCCCUUGCAAUUCCUCGUGCACUCAUUCUGGAGAUGAGCUUUGACAGGCCCAACUUAAAGUAUGAAGUACUUGAGAAGAGCAAAGAACCACUCAAGCAGCUUGGAAGAUUACUGUUGGACCGUUUCAAGAAUUUAUGUGGCAUUGUGUACUGUCUUUCAAAAAGUGAAUGUGCAGAGGUCUCAAAAUAUCUUAAUGAAAAAUGUAACGUCAAAACAGAGUAUUACCAUGCUGGAUUGGCAGCUCGUCAGAGGAUAGCAGUUCAAAAGAAAUGGCAUGCUGGAGAAGUCCAUGUUGUAUGUGCCACGAUAGCUUUUGGGAUGGGAAUAGACAAGCCAGAUGUUGUGAGUCCUGCAUACUGUUCUUUAUCUUCUUUGGCUUUUCAUUAUGUGCUAGCAAAUUCAAUGGUUGUUUUUAUUUCAUCAAUGGUUACUGUGGAAUAAGUAAAUCCGUCAUGAAACAGUUAAUUCAAUUGGUUAACACCUGACAUGAUAAAUCUGUGAUAAAAAUUUUAUUUAUCCGUGCAAAGCUUUUGUCUGAUAUGUUGUUGGUCAAAAUAUUUGUCAUAAAUUAUUUGAUGAAGACAUGUUUUGUUUGCAAAGUUUAUCCAGUGUUAAUUUUUUACGUUUGCUUACUUCUCAUACAGAUGCUUUUUGUAUGUCCAGAGGUUCGUUGUUCACAAUACAAUGUCAAAAUCAAUUGAAAGCUAUUAUCAAGAAUCUGGAAGAGCAGGCAGAGAUAACUUUCCUGCUACAUGCAUUGCUCUAUACCAGAAGAAGGAUUUCAGUCGUGUGGUCUGUAUGUUAAGAAAUGGGCAAGGGCGCAAAAUUGAGAGCUUCAAAUUGGCUAUGGAUCAAGCUCGGAAAAUGCAACACUAUUGUGAACUUAAGGUAAGUAAUUUAAAUUACUAUAUCCCUCAGACCUGCUGCUAAGAAAGUUUCAGCCUUUCUGCUGCAGAAACACACACUCUUAGACAAAGUGCUAGUUCAAUUUUUUAAAAUCCAUUGUCUGAUCUUUUGCAGACUGAAUGUCGUAGACAAUACUUAUUAGCUCAUUUUGGAGAGUCCUUUGACCCAAACGGCUGUAAAAAUGGUUCUAGUCCCUGUGACAACUGCUUGAGGGCUUCCUCAUAGAGUAAUUCUAAUCGUGAGUGAAAGCUAUGAUAGGGAAAUCAUCUUUGGGUGCUUACAUCUAUCUACUCGUCCAAAGAACAAGCAAGCAGAAACGAAAUGGAUUGACAUGUGCCCAAGUCAAUAAUUACAUUAUUAUUGUUCAACACAUAUCCGGGGCACUGGACAGAUGUUCUCACGCUUGUUUUCAAGGUAAAUACUUGGUUUCAACGCCUUUUGCCCAAUUCGUUUAAAGUUGUAAACCUGUAUUCCAAAAUGCUAUCAAUGUGACAAAGAAUAGAGCUGGAAUGUGGAAUGUUACUAGCAGUCCGGAAACUUUACAAUUGUAACCUCCUCUUUUUCUUUUUUGGUGUAGAGCAGGAGGGGGGGUGGGAUUCAAGAAGUGGGGAGGAAGUUAGGAGACUAGAAUUCAAAACUUUUAAUUUUGGAGCUUCAACCUCAACUAUUAAGUCAAAGUCUGCUCGAGAGAAUUGUAACUUGGUAUUUGGUGGAGAGGUAGGUAUUGAAUGAUAUUUUCUUAAUGUCAUAUUAUGAUUUGGAAAGAGAGAGAUGGAGAGAGAGUUUUUCCUCUGAUCCUUUUCCUUCUGAAGAGAGAGGAAGGCCUCCUGUAAUGUUAAUUUCAAGGAGACAGAAGUGCAUGAAGAGCUGGACUAUGGUCAAUAAUCGCUGCUUGCAUCCCAUCGCAUUUAUAUUCUUCUUCUGAAGAAAUGACACGCCAUUUCAGAAUCUUGAUGGACGCCUGACUUUAGAUCCAUCCAUCCAUCCAUCCAUCCAAUACACGAGGCCACAUGCACACGUUCAUUGACCUGCUCACUGUUAUACUACUAUUGUCUAAUGCCCCCAUCUGUGAUAAUCGUUGGUUGAAAUUAACUAAUGAUUUGUGCCCUAAUAAUGAUUCAGGACCACAACAAAAAAUUAUGAAUUUGCGCACCCAUAAAAUAUGUAAUCUUUGCUACGAUCUUGUGUUGUAACUUAUACAACAGUUUCUUGAAAAAAUUCUUUUACUUUUUGUUAUUACGACGUAUAGGGUAUUCAUCAAAUCACUCCAAAGAAGUCCCAUUUGUCGUUGCCGACCAAAGGUGAAGGGGAAAAAAAAAAAGAAGAAAGAUUCAUUGAACCCACUCGUCUCUGGCCGGCUCUCAAUAAUCGCAGUCGACGCCGAGUAUGGAAAGCUCUUCUUCAGAUAAGUUCUUACAGUGUCAGUGUGGCCUACAGCUUUGACUUUGGAGCCUGCUCCGCCUUUGUUUUUUCUGUUCUUAAUUAGUGGAGUAUUAUUUUUAGAAGCCACGAUUUUAUGCAGCCUCCAGCAAAAUGGAAAAGAUCUACUACUACCGAAAUUUCAGGUCAUAUUUAGGGGUGGCAAUAGGGCGGGGAUCCUUCUCCACUCCCGCCCCGUUGUCAAAUAAUUCCCCCCGUCCCCUGCCCCGAUUUCUCCCGUGGAGAAAAAAAUCAACUUAUCAUAAAUGUUGACUAUAAUAAUUCAAUUGUAAACAAUGUUAAAUAAGAUUAAAAAGCUGUCAAGAUGAAAAUAAAAUAUAACAAAUCAAGUUACAUUCAGUGCGGAGGAAGGGAACCGAUCGAAAUAAAAAAGGGUUAGGGGCAAAACAGGUUGGAAUUGGAUAGCUUUGUCUUGAGGGGGGUGUUAGAAACAAAUCAACAAUAGUCCAAGAAAUUUCUUCAAUUAUACACCCGCUCCAUUUCAUGCGCCUCAUUGGCAUCCUUAGUCAUAUUCAUUAGAUUAUAAAAGUUUCAAUUUGAUUAUUAAUCUUUAUCCUUGAAGACAUUAAAAACUUUGCCCCCAAAAAAUUUUUACAAAAUUGUAACGAUGUCCUUUUAAGUAUAUUUCUUUAUGGGUCUUGCCUAAAUUGUUUUAUACCAAACUCUCAGUCAAUUUUUUUAAAAUGUAUUUACCAAACACGGUAUUUGUUGCAUUUUGAAAUGUACGGACAUAUGUAACAAAUUCUUUUUUUUUUAAAUUUAUAAGUGAAGAUCUUGAAUUCAGGACCUACUUACUUAUAUUCCUUCCACCUUACUAUCCAAUUCAACUCACCUCUGAUUCAAUUAUUUAAUAAAUUCAGUUAUUUGUUAUUCGUUAAAACUUAUCGCCAAAAACAAUAUAAACAGGAUAACUAACCAAGCGAGUCCCCUAUCAAUAGUCUUACAACUAUCUAUGUAAGACUUGCAUAUAAUAUGUUGUUUAAUUUUAGAAUUCGAACUCAAGGGUAGGCCUUCAAAAUUAUCAAGUGAGUCCCAAAUAAUAUCGAUAUAAUUUGAACACAAUAAAAGACCAAAUGUGAGGCUUUAAGCUUUCAUGCAUUAGAAGCCUAACAGCUUAAAAAAUUAAUGAAACUGUGAAAAACUUUUGCUACUCACCAAGAAAACAUAAGCACUCGUUAACAGCAUAUUGGAUUAGUAUUUUUUUUUUCCCUGUCCAUUUGAACGUCUAAAUCUCCAAAUAAACUUGAAUUAAAUAUUAUUUACAAUAAUUAUUAUAACAUUUUUUAAGACAUAAAAAUAAUUACAAAUAUAAAAAAAAUAAUUAAAAAAUAUAUUUAUGAUGUAUUAGUACAUCAUUCACUUUCGAUUUAGAACAUGCCAAGUCAAAAUUCACGAUUUAGUUCAAGAAAGGACUGCGACGGCAGUCCGUGGACUAGACUAAACCGUCACACGCCAAAGGAAAUCUUGGACCUACUCCCCAAUUGUCUAUACCCCAUAGAUACAGAAAUUAAUAUAUGCGUCCUUUCACUAAUUUGUUUUUAUUCAAUGGUACAGGGAACAACUUUUUCAAAACCCCCCUCCCCCCUUCCCCGCCGGGGGGCCCAAAAAAAAAAAAAGAACAGGGAACAAUAGUGAUAGAGAGCGACUGCAUCUAAAGAGAAAGGGAUAACAAAAAUAUUAUGAUUGAGAGCGACUUCGGAGCAACCAUAUAUUAGACACCAGAUACGAAUUUGACAAGUUUGAGAAAAUGACAUAGUCCUAACUAUAUUUUGGGUGUUUUUCAAAAAUUUAUCUAAAUCAUUAUUGUGUUUGUAAAACUUUUACUAGAGAUGUGUAGAUGUAUUAGGGUGUUUUCAGGGAUAUUUUUGGGGGAUUUUUUUGGGAUGUCUUUUAAGGAAUUUUUGGAAUUUAAAAUUUCUUUGAAUAUUUUUUAAAAAUUUACACCAUUCCAUAUCGUCACCGACAUCUGCCAUUCCCUUCCUCUUCUUUCCUCUUCUCUCGUUUCUCUCCCUCUUUCUUCCCCUCAUUCUUUCUCCCUCUCCCUCCUCGUUCUUUUUUCUCCCUCUUCCUCCAUUCCCCUUCUUCAGGCACCCUCCCCCCUCUCCCUCCAUGAUCGAUCACAACCAGAGAGGAAGGAAGAAGGGGGAGAAGGAAGGAGGGGAAGAAAGAGGAGAGAGAAAGGAGGGAAUGGUGAUGAUGGGUGGUGGUGGGAUUGGUAUUGUGUGGUGGAAGAAGAUGUAGUAGAAUUUUUUUUUUUAUGUAUUUGUCAGUUAUUUUUGUAUAAAUUGAUGUUUUUGAAGUUAUUUUUUUUGUAUAUUACUAUAAUUUUAUAUUUGAAAAACUAGUUUUGAAAAAUAACCAAAUCCAAACAAAGCCAAUUCACCAGAGAAUAAAUAAUGCAUCCCUCUUCUGAAGAUGGAAAAAUUGUCUUGCUCAUUUACUACAGGUAAUCAGUAUGAUAGAUACCUAUUUAAUUGAAGUGCAAGGAAAAAAAAAAACACUAUUUUCAUCCCCAAAAUUCAUGAGAAAUUUUUUUUUCGUUAUAAGAAAUGCAUGCUCUAACAAAAUUAUAUGUUUACCUCUAAUACUAUGCCAUAGUUAAAUUAGCAUAAAUGACUCCCUUAGUGAUAUAAUAAGAACAAGCAAUUGAAGAAGCUCAAGGAAUUAUGUUGGGAAGACCUAAUCAGAGCCCGUUGGAUUUGUGUCGUCGGGACCGGAAAAUGACGCACUCAUGAUUCGUGAUCCUCCUGCAGCUAAAAACGUUGGAAAAUUUGUGCCUGAACCGCCUUUAAAGGUCUGAUUCCUUGUAGCCUAUGAGAGGACCCCUGAGUGAUGUAACAUGCAAUUUGUCUUGGUUCCAUGAAAAUGAGAUAGGACGUGCGUGGUCAAAAUAUAUCAACUAUGGUUUGUCUGUGCAGAUCAUAUCUUACAUAUAAUUACCUAUUUAUUUCCUGGCAAGUCUCUAUCUAUCUCACUAUGCAGAAUUUUUUUUUUUUUUUUUUAAAAAAAACCUCCCCUAGAAAAAGGUUUUUCUGACAAUUUGAGCCACCUUCCUUGAGGUUUCGAUGAUUACAGAAAUCUCCCUUACUAAAAAAUAUAACUAGGUAACAACUAAUGAUGCAAGUAUAACAAAUCUAGUGAAUACCCCAUAUUGGCCCCAUCUCAUCUAUUAAAGAAAUUAAAUAGUUAAUAUUUAUAGGAAGAAAAGUAUCCCUAUAUAAGGGAGAAAUACUGAUGGGAUUUGAUGGUUGGAUAAUUGUGAAUCAAAUUCAAUUGUGGAGAUUUUAGAUUUAAUAGGCUGGUUGGUUAGAUGGAGAUCACUAGAUGAGGUGAGUUAAAGUGCUUAUAUAUAUAUAUAUAUAUAUAUAUAUAUAUAUAUAUAUAUAUAUAUAUAUAUAUAUAUAUAUAUUGCUUAGCAGAUUUUUCUCAUUUUUAUUUUUAUUUGUAAAGCUCUUUGAUUGGAGUUGAAGAUUUUAUGAAAACUAAUAUAGUCUUUUUGUAAUAUCAAAGUUAGUCUAAUUUUCAAAUCUUAGUGGAGAUGAUUGAAAUGGUCAAAAACCUGAACAGAGAUUUUGGAUAUUAUCCCCGUAUACUAAAAACCUCGAACUGCUUCUUUAUGUAUAUUCCGAACUAAUGAGCAUUAAUAUUCCAAUGCACUAGUGUUAACUUAUCACACAAAAAAAAAAAAAAAAAGAGAGAAAAAGUGUGGCAAGGUUAAGUAGGCGUUAGGCAACUUUAAACACAUUGGAAAAUUACUAAACAGGGUUAAGUGGUGAACCACACUGAGCACUUCCCAUCAUAGGGUUAAACAAAAAAAAAAGGAAUUUUCCAUCAUCUCCAUUUCUAAAGUACCAGUAUAUACACUAUCAUCAUUAGAUGCAUGAUAGGACUGUUAAUGGGACUGGACUAGCCCGAGCUCGGCUCGUUCAGCUUGAAAAAAAGCCCGAUGAGCUCGACUUUUUAGUGAGUCGGUCUGAGUUUGAAUCUAAACAUUAGGUUCGAAUUAAAUAUGAGUCGAACUUGGAACUUAUUAGGUUCAAACCCGAUAUAAGUUCGGCCCUUAAAUUACCUAUAUAUAAAUUGAUAUAUAUAAUAUAUAUUUUGAUAUUAUAUAUCCAAAUAUAUUAUUAUUAAAUACUAAAUAUAUACAAAUUACAAAACACAAAAAUACAUUUAAAAACUCUUAUACUAACUUUCUUGGGAGACAAUAUUGGUCAUGCAUAACUGAAACUUUAACUUAUCUUAUUGGUUGAGUAAAUUUUUGUGUUGACAUAAUAUUGGUUGAUUUCUUUUUAGUCUAGAAACACGAAUCAUCAAACAUGUUUGGAUUCAAGUCACAAAGCUAUGAAGAAGUUCAAAUCUUGGAUGUUGUAUUGGUUUAUGACCGCAUGUUUUAUUAUUAUUUUUUAUGUAUUUUGAACUAAUUAGACAUAAAUAUUGUUGAAAAAUUCUUGGUUUAUAUACUUUUUAAGACCUAUUAUUUGUUCAUAUUUAGUUUUAAUGUUGUAGUCUUGUGAAUGUUGAAUUAGUUUUACAAUUCAAAAGUUAUAAUAAUUAUAUUAAGAAAAUUAAGGAGCAGGUUAAACUCAAAUAAGGCUCAAAACCCGAAUAUUUUAUGAGUUGAGUAUGAUCAUCACAUUUAUUAACUCGAAACUCACGGCCUGAAUCCCAAAAGUGUUACAAAUUAAAUGAGUUGAAUCUGAACUUAUGAAAGAUCGACUCUUAUGGCCCAAUUGACGGGUCUAAUGCAUGAUAACUCAUUUGAAUUUAAAUUAGAAUUGCAAAUUUUGUUCAUGUAUCAUUGAUAAUAAAUACACUUGUAGUGUAUACUUGUUUGGAUUGUGAUUUUUUGCAGAAAAAUUUUUACACUCUCUGUGAAUACCUUUUUCAAUCAUUUUUUUACUUCACAUACAUUAAAUCAAUACAAUACUUCUUCUUCUUCUUUUUUUUACAUGCAAAACUCCUAAAAAUAGCAAUCCAAACGGUUUGAGAAUACUGAGAUCUCGAGGGAAGGGUUAGUUUGGCCAAUAGAUAGCCAAAGGCGCCAAGUGAUUAAAAUGGCCUUGGGUUAUUAGUUGAAAGGCUAUUUGCCAUUUUAGACUUUUAGGCGAAAAAAAAAAACUCUGAUAUUGUACUAUUAUAUUGCACGUACGAGUAAUCUGCCGUGACAUGCAAUUUAAAAUACGAGUAACAAAAAGGAACUUUUGUUGUAUAAAAUGUUAAAAGGGGUUCUUCAUGCUAAAUACAAAAGUGUUUAAAAAUAUAUAGUUUAUGCAUUGAUGAAUUUCUGCAUUCAAAAUAUGGUACAGUGGGAUGGUUUCUAAACAUGUAAGUUUUAGCUAUCCCUAUUUUUUUGUUAAAGCAGUAGUAAUAUGGCAACCAAAAGCUUAAACAGUUGAGCUCUAUAUCCAGACUUCACAGGUUUUUCUUUUAUUUUUAGUUAUUUCUUUCGUAUGACAAAUUAUAUAUUUUUUAUUUUAUCUUUUUUUUUUUUUGUAUUUAACAUGCCAUGCACGUUGUUUCUUUCCUAGAAUGGAAGGAUGAUAAUUUAACAUCAAUAUGUAUUUUCGCACCAAAAAUGGUUAAAUGAUCUUAUUACCUGCCUAUGGCAAAGUGAUGAUAAAUUUUAUUUAAAGCGUCAAAUUGUGGCAAGUUUCAUAACAUAGAAGCCAAAGUGUAAUUAACCCUAAAAGAUAAACGCACUAGUACAUGAUAGAUGGAUUUUAUUUUUAACCUUCUCUCGUUCCAACUCACAUCCUUUAUAUUCCCAAUUCUCAAGUUUCCGAUAUAAAAUUUGAAUCCUGAAUGCGACAGUGAGAAUGAUUCUAAAGGCUGACCUAGUGAUUGAUGGAUGGAUAUUUGAAAAUUCUAUGAUGAUAUACAUUUGUCCUCCUUUUUUUUUUUUUUUUUUUUUAAGUUUUGAAUCUUGUUGCCCUCAAAAAACUAGAAUUGCAACUCCCCAUACAAAAACUUUUUAGGUUCUGUCACCAUGUCUGCUUACAAGCAAAGGAAAUUAGUAUUAAAAAGGGAGGGAUUUUAAUUGAAUAGUAUUCAAUUAAGGAAGGGAGUAGAUAGUAGUUACGUUGCUAAGUUGGUUGUGCCUUUUAUUAAAGUGCUUAUUUUUCUGGUUCAUGGCGCAAGCGUACGUCAAGGACGAAGCAGAAUAAAUGCUGCCAUACAAACAGACCUGAUCUAAUCUGUCAUUCUUAAGUUGACCCCCCAAAGAGUCAUUCUUCCCUUCUCCAGCAAUUGUCAUCUUCUUGAUUUUUACUUUUUUGGGAUACCUUUCCUCUGAGCAGAAUGUUGCGAUACAUCUCCAACAUUGGGCAGAAUGAAGUUUUUGUCUAGAUACCUUUUGAAAUGAAGAAAAUCAUAUUUCGGUCAGUUCAGCAAAACUGCAUAGUUAGUAUGUAAUACCACCGUUUCAUUGUGAACAAUUCAACUCGCAUUCAUGUGGUAAAACUUGUUGCACUAUUCCAAAUUUCUACUCAACUUAUUAUUAACUUGAGAUUUUUUUCAUUAAAUAAGUGGUUUUUUCUUAAGUGAAAGUUAAUAAUAGUAGGUGAUUUCAAGUGAAAGUUAAUAAUAGUUCGAGUACCUGGCUCACCUUCUCCAAUAUCCUUCAUACAUAUUGCUUAAGUUACUCUUCUUUUUUUUUUUUUAGAAACGAUAGAUGUUUUUAUUGAUAAAAACUUACAGUAUUUGAACAAUGACUUAGAGAACUAUAUACAACGUGUACCUCGACACUUAAAAGAGUAAUAAAAGUUCUCUACUCAUCUCUGAAAUGGCCUAAUUACUCGAGAGACAGCAAAUCAAGAAUGUGGGUUUUGCAAAGUUACUUGUGCCAGAGUUUAGCAGGAAACUGGGAAUGGUUGGGGGAAGAGAGGGCCAGCCUUGGACUAAGGGAAACUGCCUCGUUUAAUAUGUAAACAGUAAUAAUAUAGGAUAUACUAGUAUAAGAUAUUGCUAAAAAAAAGUCUUGGUUUUCUGAUCUAGAUCUUUGAAUAUUUGUAAACCCUUGUUCAUUGUCAAAAAUCCCGGUAGAAUAAUAGGUUACUAAAAGUUGCAAAAGUGAUGUUUCUCAACAAAAAUUUACUGACUUGAUGAAUAUCAAAGUGAGACGCAAUUGAAUUUCAGAAGAGUUUGUACCAAUGGAAUUGAUUGUACUAGUAUUUCAGAAGAGGGGAGCAAAUGGCAGUCUUACCCUUAACUAAACUGAUAAAAAGGGAAAAAAAUUAAAGAAAAGUUAAUAAAAUCUUGAAGCUGGCAAAAUCUGAUUCUCCAGUGCCAAAGGAAUUUAGUAGUACUUAUUGCCGAUGAGCUUUAAUGCUUUGCCUAAUCAAUCGUAGGUUGGGAAUGGAACGUAAGUAAGUGUAGACUUCUCACUUACACUAUAAAAAAAAAGGGGUAAUUGAGGUUUGUUGCAUCAUUUCGAUACUAGAUGCUGUUAUACUUUUGUUGAAAUACACUCGAAAACUUUACUCCCUUUAUGAUGACUAUAUGAGCUAUUUUUAGUAGAUUUUUUGAAGUAUUAGUGUCCUAUUUUACGAGACAUUGUAGUUAUACUUAGUUUUUGAUUAUCUCUGAAGAUAGUGAUUUUUGUUUUUAUAUUUUUUUUGGACUUGAUGUUUGGAAUCUGUUCAUAUUACAUUGCUAGAUUGAUCUCAUACAAUUUGGUGAAGUUUUAUAGAAAAAUACAUAAUACAUACUAGUAACAAUUUAAAAUUAGCCAUUUUAAUGUGUAAUGGAACAAUUAAUUGGUUUUAGAAUGUAAGAAAAAAUCUAGUAAAGUUAAUUCAUAAGCAAGAAGAAGAAAUUAGGAAGGGGGUAAUAUGGUUUCAUCAAAAUAAAAAUGGGAUAAUGGGAGUGCAAAUAACAUUAUUAUCCUAAAAAAAUAUAUAUACAAAAAAAACAUUUUAAAAAAUCAAUAGUAAGUUAUAAAUUGACAAUAUUUAAAUCAUUGCCUUAUUAGUAGUCACAUUUAUUUUUACUCAAAGAAAACAAUUACUUAAAACUGGUCUUGGAUUCAAAUAUUCAUGCCUUUUUUCCACUUUUUAAAUUCCAUCAUUCCCCUAUUAGAAGAAGUAGAAAGAAAAAGCAAGUAAAAAAGCACAUAGAUAAUAUGAAUAUUUGUAUGUUGCCCUUCUUUAAAUUAUGUAGGUGACUAUAUAUUUGAUUUACCAAAUUUUAGUAAAUAUUAUAUCAAAUAUAUUUUUUUUUUAAAUGGGUCAAGGGCACCUAUGAGUACACCUCAUCAGCAUUUAAUUUACCAUGUGAAUAUACACUCACUUUUAAUACAUUUCUGUAUUUAAAUACUUAUCAAAGUUAAUUUCAGUUUUAUCAAAAGAAUUAACACGUGAGAGUCCAAGGCACCUACUAACCAAAUCCGGUAUCAAUAUGGGGUGUUACCUUUUGAGUCUUAAUACGCGUAUUUCAUUAGGUGUAACACAAAAAGUAUAACAUAGCAUGCAAACUUUCUUUAUAUAUAUAUAUAUACACACACACACACACUAUAUGUUAAUUGUCUAAAAUAAUUUUGCUUUUGCCUUGGCAUUUUUUUUUCUUUUGAAAAGGAUUAUCUCUGUUUGGAUUGGUCAUUUUUUAAAAAACAAAAUUUUUAUAUACAAUGCUACAAUAAUAUACAAACAAAAAUAACCUCACAAGCACCAAAAACAUCUCUUUGUUUGGAUUGCUGAGUUUUUCAAAAACUAGUUUUUCAAAUACUAUUAAAAUUUUUGAAAAGUACUCUUAAAGAUACUCUAAAAAGUAGUCUAAAUUUUUUUUAAUGUUUAAAAAAUAUCCCAAAAUAUAUUCUAAAAACUCUUCUACUCUUAAAUAUCCCAAAAUAUUUUCUAAAAAUAUCCCAAAAUAUACUAUAAAAACUCUGUUGUAGUAAAAUUUUUUAAAAAUACUCCCAAAAACAACUAAUUCAAAUGGACAUUUUAAAACCUAAAAAACACAAAAAACGACUUCAAAAACACCAAAAACAUAAAAAACAACCUCAAAGAACACAAAAAAUAGGCCAACAUCAUCUAUCUUAGGGGUGCUGUCACUACUCGAGCUCGACUCGAGGCAAAAUAACUAAGCUCGAGCUCGAGCUCGAGCUCGUCAAACUUUUAAAAUUCGAGCUCGACAUCAAUUUAUGGAACUCGAGCUCGAGUUUAAUUAAAUGUAAUUAAUUCAAAUCAAGCUAAAUCGAGCUUAUUCGAGCUCAAUCAAGCUCAAGUAAUAAAAAUUAAUAUUUUAUAUAUAAUUUUAAAUAAAGGAUAUUAUUGACAUUUCACAAUAAAAAAAUUUAAAAUAUAUAUUAUAAAAAACUCGAUAGAGCUCGUCGAGCUCUCGAGUAUUAUAUUUUCAAGCUCAAACUCGACUCGAUAGCUCUAACGAGCAGCUCGAGCUCGAGCUCGAGCUUGGUCAACCGAGCUCGAGCUGGAGCUGCUGACCAAGUAGCUCGCGAGCUCGAGCCGAGCUACUUGGUUCAGCUCCAGCCCUAAUCUAUCUAUAGUAAAAGUUUGUCACUUACAUUGCUAUAAUAAAAUAUUUCAGAAAACAACCCAUCCAAAUAGAGCCGCUUCAUUGAGUGAUAACAAUUAUUGAUUAUUUGACAGACAACACCAUGCUUCAUUGAGUGAUAUAUAAUUAUUUAUUACACGGCUAACAAUUGAAUAAAUCUUAUUUUUAACAAUUGAUACAUAAUAAUUCAGAUUGCGGGUCAUUGGGUAGACCGGGCCUACCAAGUUCUGGCACUUGCGUAUUACAUAACGGGCGGAAAUAAUGCGUUUCAUCUUCUCCUCUUCAUCUUUGACAUCAAUUUUGGCCUAAACUUGCCCUCUCAUUCACUCUUUUAACUACUACUACUAUUACUAUCUCUUCUUUUCUUUUUAAGAUAUUGCUUGGUAAUAGUUUUGUCUUCAACUACCGGAAUAUGUACCAGGCAGGCAAAACAGGCACCAAAAUACGCUCAAAACUCACACACGUCAUUUCUCUUUCUCUCACACACAGUCACACAGUAACAGCUCAAUACUUUUUCUCUAAUGUUUAAUUUGCCUGCUGACCGGUGAGGGUGCUUUUUUGCUUUGUCUUCAUUCACUCCCUUCCUCAGUCUUCACACUGACAGAGGGCCACCAAGACACACACACAAUGCUCAUCAAAAUUUAAACUCAACCGACCAACCACUCUGCUAUUCAGAUCUCUCUACAGAUUUAUUUAUUUAUUUUUCUACUCCAGACAUGUGUAAAAUCAAAAGGGCAUUUCAGAAAUCUGGAAAAUAUUAGUGGGUUUUACUCGGAUUCCUGGCUGGUAACUUUCGAUUUGAAAAUGUUUCAACUUUAUUAGAUUUUCUUGAUGUGCAUUCUUGCCCCAUGAUAACGUAGUACUGAUGUUCUAGUUCUAGUGUUUGUUAAACACCAGAAAAGAAAGGACCUGUAUGCAUAAAAUGCUACUAUGGUUCACUUUUCUUGAAUUGCUGGACUUAAAAUGCUAAUAUGAAAGUUCACAUUUUUUUGAUCGUAUAGGUACUUUUGUUGAUGGGUUUUUCUGGGUUUCUCUAUUUGUUUAUGUUUUCAAUUAUAUCUGCAUAAUCGCCGUAGUGAAUUUAUAAAUGUGUAAACUCCGCGUGUGUUGCUUGCUUGUUUUAGUGUUUUUUGUGGUUCUUGAAUCUAGGGUUUUUCUUGAUAAUUUAAUAUAUGAUGAAGCGAUUUUUUACGUUUCUGAGUCAAUCAAAGGAUUUUGAAGCUUUUGGAAACACACAUUUUCUGUUUUCUUCUGUAGUUUGACUUAUAAUCUCGGUCUAUUUGGUUUUGAAUCAAUAAUGCGGGCACUGAAACUGUUGCAGUUUUGUAUAAAUUGAUGAUUUUGAGACUCAGGAUAUCUCUUGCUGAUGCAGCUAGCUGGAUCUCCUUUAGUUGUGUUGAUGAUUUAGGGGACUUGAUUGAUUUUUGGGAUUUGAAUGAAAAAAUGGAAGUAGAAAAGCGAAGUUCCAAGGGUGGAUUUCUUCAGUUGUUUGAUUGGAAUGUUAAAUCCCGGAAGAAGCUUUUCUCCGCCAAAUCUGAGUUAUCUGGUAAUUUUUUGUUUGACAUUUUUGUUUCAUUUGCUCUCUUAAGUUGAAGUUUGACUCUCUCUCUCUUUCAUGUUUAAUCUGUAUUGCUGUUUUUUCUCUGAAGGUUUAAUGUAUGAUGUUUUGACUGCAGAUAAUCCACAGCAAGGUAGAGAAACUUUUGAUGAUACAACAAUUUCACGUCUUCGAAAGGUACUUUUCUCUUCAUUUUAUUAUCCAGAUUAUUUUUCACCUUACCUUAAUUUGUUUGAAAGUAUUUAAGCUUCAAAAUACUUUUAUGAAGGCGCAUGACAAUGGGUGUGGUCCAAGUACCAGAGGGAACGAUGGUUCAAGUUAUGCUUCAUCUGUAAAUGGUGAUGAAAUAUAUGGUGCAAGAGCUCCGGGGGUCGUUGCACGACUUAUGGGAUUGGAUACGCUUCCUACUUCAAAUGUUUCUGAGCCCUGUUAUACACAAUUUUUUGAUUCUCACUCUUUUAGAGAUUCUCAUUACUCAAGGGGUAUGCCUGAUUUCUGGAGCGAAGAACACAUCAUAAUCUAUGACAGCAUGCGGAAUAAGCUAGACGGGUUCACCAAGAAUCCUGUUGAAGUGAUGCUGCAGAAGGUGCAGAAUCGACCAAUUGAGAAGUUUCAAACUGAAGUACUGCCCCCAAAAUCUGCGAAGCCCAUUUCAAUUACUCACCACAAGCUUUUGUCUCCCAUUAAGAGUCCAGGGUUCAUUCCAAGUAUGAAUGCUGCUUAUCUAGUAGAGGCAGCUGCCAAAAUCAUUGAACAAAGUCCUCGUUCAACUGCUAGACAUAAGUUGCCAUCUUUGGGUUCUUCUUCAGUUCCUUUGAGAAUCCAGGAUCUUAAAGAGAAAAUGGAGGUUGCUCAGAAAUCUUCUAGGACUCUUCAAGCUUCUCAGAAGGCCAAAGAACAAAGCUCUUCCAAACAGGUAAAGAGACAAACUAGGGACAGGGUCCAAGGUCAAGGAGAAGCUCCAGACAUGUUUAGGGUUUCUGAUACGUCAAGAAAUGCUGGUUCUCAGAGUAUCAAGAAUAAGGAAAAAUCAGUUUCACUGGCUGUUCAAGCUAAGGCUAAUGUUCAGAAGAAAGAGGGAUGUACUGCAAUUGGAAACCGGAGUUCUGUAAACCAUAAGGAACCUAAUGAUGUCAGGCAUAGCUCUUCUGGUAGGAACCAAUCAAAAAUCCAAAAGAAUGUUGAAAGGAGAACAUCGACUGACAAAUCUUCUGAUGUACUUAGGCAAAAUAACCGGAAGCAAAACUUUGCUUCAGCUAAAGAGAUGGAAGGUUCAAGGCCUCCAUUUUCUCAUCAGAAAGACAGGAAACAGCUGUCUUCACAUGACGUACCUAGGCCGAAUAAGACUGUAAAUAAGAUCGUUGUAAGCACUCCUGUCAUGCCCGGAAAGACCUCAAUCCAUCAUGUUGGAAAGGAACAACUUCCAUCAGCAGUAAAGAGAUCUUCAGGAAAGAAGCAACCAAUCAAUGGAAACAAUUUUUCUCAUGGAAAUGAUAACCAAUCAGUGAGUAGAGGCGAAAGGUCUAUAAAAUGCAAUUAUGAAAUUGAUAGGUGCAGUAAAUGGGAUGCAGCUGAGAGAAAAAAUGGCACGGAUGUUGUAUCAUUCACAUUCACUUCUCCAAUUAAAAAGUCAUUAUCUGCUUCUAGUUCACCUGUGAAAGUCACUGACAAGAAACGAGGCUCAUUCCUUGUUCCCACAACUAGUGAAAAUCAGUCUUCUUUUGGUCUGAAUGUUGAUGGUGGUGAUGCUUUAAGCAUUCUUUUGGAACAAAAGCUCAAGGAGUUGACAUCUAAAGUUGACUCAUCUAAUCAAGACCACUUCCAUUCAGAGUUUCCAUGUAGUUCUGCUGGCAGUUGUGAAGAUUCAGUGUCUACUCUCACAAUGACACAUACCACAUCUAGUGAACAUCACAAAAAUUCCCAACUUGAUGUGCCUCAGGACAAACUGCGCAUCCAACCUAAAUCCGAUAGCUCUUCUAUUGAUGAACUUCACCUUAAAGCAAUGCAAAAGUGGCAGGUAAUUUGGUUUAUGAUUUUGUCUGUACGUGUAUUCUUAUGGGUCAUGUUUUUUUGACUGCAUUUGCUGUAGUAAAAAAUGAAAGAGGCAUACAUAUUCCUUUGUUUAUCCAGAAAAAAAAACCCUUUGACAAUGCUGCAAAACAGUAAAAAGUGAUUGAAAUUCUCUAUCUCACUGGAGCAUUACAAGUAUGCUUUUGUUGGUUCAAAAGUUUAUCUGGAUUUUUUAAAAUGAAGAUAUCACAUCAAUACAACUACUAGUGCAUUCUAGGUAGCAGGUAAUAAAUAUUAUCAGCUGGUGUCAUCUUGUGAUCAAGGAAUGGCUUCAAUACAACUGUGCUGUAGCCCUUGAUUCCUUCUUUUUGUUGAACAACUGGGUAGAUAUUCUUCUGGCAUCUAUGUAAUUCAAUAAUAUGGGUUACAAACCAAGAAUGGUCCUAUGGUGGAUGUUGGUUCAUUUGUAGAACUUCUGCCUAAUGGCUAUGAACCUCUGUAGAAGUUUGAACUCAAGGACAAAUUAGGUGAUUUCCCUUAUCAGCAAUAGAGUAUUUUAAUUGGCGGCCUUAAUUUGCUUUAUGUAGUUUCUCUUUUAUCUUAUUUAACCAAAUUUCAUCAAAAAAUUUUAUCUCGCUUUAAAAGUUCAUUGCAUGUUGCAUUUCUAAUAAAUAACUCACAUCAACAGUAUUGUAGAAUGACCAAUUCUAUUCCUUGUACUACGAUCCUUGUUUAGAUACUUAUUUUUGGCCAUGAUUAAGUCAAAUCUACAUAGCUAACGUGUAUAAGUACUUGUACCGUCAUGUAGAGAAGCUUUUAUAUUGCAAACUAACUGCAGUGAUCACUUCUCAUAUUCCUUGAAUAUUUGGAAUACGUUAGUUGGGGAUUAACAUCUGCUAAUUUCAUAUCUUUCUUUCUCAUCGUCAUGGAGUAAAUCACACGGUUACUCUUACAAGAAUCACAUAAUGAAGUUGCUCUUGCUAGAAUUUUUACCUCUUACAACUCUUGAAGUGAUUCGCUAACUGUACAUUAUAUCAGUCUGUUUGUUUAAACUCUUAUCCCACUUGUUUAGAGUCAGAUAAUGAUGCUUAUUCAUUAUUAUUACAGUAUUCAUUUAAAACAGCUCUCUGUGGAAUGUCAGUUGGCAAAUUUAAAUGAGAUUUGGCUGGAAAUGCCAGAUGAUGAACAGUUGCCGCCAAUACGCUACUUUUAAGUUUGCUUGUACCCAAACAAGUUUGUUUCCUUUUAGUUUUUAGGCUUCAACUGUUGGUUUGUCCUAAUAAACAUCCGUUAAGUAGUUUUUGUUCUUUCAAGUUCAAACUAUGGUGUCUCGCAUGAUUUUGAACUCCAUAUUAAUUGAAAAAUGCAUGUAGUGGCCUCUUUCUUCUUUGUGCAUGCAUGCAUUUGUGUGGGUUAAUAAGCAGCAUAACACUUGCUAAUUUUAUUCUGCUCAUAUAGUCCUGAAAAGAAGUAUUGUACUCUGUAUUUUCUUCACCAUUCUCAGGGUGUACAGGAGAUGGAAGAGCUUGGCUUUAUUAGAUAUGACAGAGACCCCAAAUAUCAAUCCUGUGGUCCAGUGUCAAGUUUGGAACCCGCCUACUCAGAGAGUAGUUGCAACUCUCUAGAUAGCAACAGAAGUAUUACCAGUGAGGGUAAGAUUGCUUGUCCUCUAUACACUGUUAUCACAUUUUUCUAAUAUACACUGGAUUGAGAUAGGCUAUAUUAUCUGGCAUUUUAUACAUAGUCCAAGAACUAUAUAAUUGAUCUAUGAUCAACUGCAUAAUAAAGAUUUAACUGAUGGCUGUUAACAUUUAGGAUACACGAUGAGGUUAUGAAUGUACAGAAGCCUGUGAGCCUUGAAGUCUUGAUUGAAAUAUUUAAUCGGGACCAACUCUUGUAGUCCUUAGUAGAUUUUUCUUUGGGGGGUGUAAUUUAGGAUCUAAUGUAAUAUUUUCUUCAAUUUCAGCGAGCAAGAUGUUUUUGGCAGUUGAAGCUUAUGAAAUGACUCAAUGGAGCUCCACUAGAAAGUCCCAACCUGUGGAAGCCGACAUGGAAGUGUCAGAUUCUGCCUCUUCAGCCUCUCUCGGGGCAACAAGUGUAACAGAUACAAGUUCAUCAUUCACUUCAAUGAUUACUAAUGAAUCAGCCAAAUGGGAGUUGGAAUAUAUCCGGUGUAUACUUGUUAACACUGACUUGUUGCUGGAGGAGUUUGCACUUGGUGAGGCACACAAGAUCUUAGCUCCCAAUCUCUUUGGUCAGUGGGGUGAAGUAAAACUAGGAUCAAGUAAAAAUGUGGAAAAAAACUUCAAGUUAGUGCAAAAGGUAUUGUUCGACUAUGUUGAAGAAUCUCUGGAAUUAAAGUGCGCGCAGCAUUUUAGUGGAAGCUGGAAAUCUUGGACUAAGCUAGCAGCUCUGAUUCAGAAGAAAGAUUGGUUGGCUGAAGAACUGGGCAGGGAGAUUUCAGGCUGGACAAGCAUGGAAGAUUUGAUGGUAGAUGAGCUUGUGGACAAGGACAUGAGCACCAAAUUGGGGAAGUGGGUUGAUUUUGAGACUGAGGCAUUUGAAGAAGGUGUAGAAAUUGAGAAGAGAAUAUUGAGUAAUCUGGUUGAUGAAUUGGUUGAUGAUUUCUUGUUGUCCUAAAGCAUUGCAACAUAGGCUACAUAGGUUUUACAUUACUCAAGUAUGACUUGUAGAUACAUGGUUAUUGUGAUGGGCCCAAAAAUACAAAGGCUUAAAAUUCAUACUUGAGCAGAUUGCAUUUUGAUUGUAACUUCACCGUUCUUCAUUGCUUGCUGUCUCCCUGGGCAGAACUGCACUACUGAAAUUUCUUGAAACCCUUUUUAGGCCUAACUUCCUUUCAUUAUAGGACCUCAUAAACAGUGACAUUACAGAUUCCGUCCGUAUCUUCUACUAUAAGACCUUUACAACCUGGCUCAAAUAUUACAAACUUGUGUAAAACCAAUUCUUUGUAAAAAGAAAAAAGAUUGAACCGGUGAUCAUAAAAUAUCAUGCAGAUUAUAGACAUUGAAAAAAAAAUCAAUUUUGAUGUAUAACUGUGUUAGGCUGUGCCUAGCAGACAUGAGGGAUUCGACAUGACAUAUGUAUGAUGAGCCAAAGCCCCAAUUUGACUAAUCAUUCUAGUUGUCCUUCUUUGGGCGGCCAUGUGGGGUGUUUGGCUGGGAUUGGUCAGGUUGAAUUUGGCUGUAGUAGUGAUUCUUUUCCCCAUAAAUGGGAAUAAUUGAUUUACACGGUUGAACCAUAAGAACCUGACAAUUGACACAAUCUCAAGUGUUUUAGUGCUGGUGGUUAACCAAAUCCUUGUAGAUCCAAUGGUUUGAGGCUGAGUCUUUUCAUACUUGAGGAGUCGUAGCCAUGCUCUGAUGAAAGGAAGGACAACAAAAAAAAAAAGAAAAAAGAAAAAACAUGGAGUUACCACUUCAUUAUCAAGAGAAUCGCUUUCUUUUGGCCCGCCCUAGUAUGUGUCAAAAUGUGAUACCAUCACUUAGAGUUAGAGGAGGUGGAAAACUAGUCAAGUUGCAACGUUUGACCAUCAAAUUUAACAUUUUCAACAUUUUUUUGAUAUGGGUAUAACUUGAUAUAAACGAGCUUGACCUUGAAAAUAGAUGGUUAGGAGGAUUCAAUAGCACUUGGUUUUGGCUGAAUGGCACCUACUUGUUGAGGCUCAAGAAUGUCAAAAUGGAUAAGCAAGAAGAUGGGAGUGAAUUUCUUGAAAUGACUUGCUAGGGGUAUCCAAUCACCAAUGGGACUGAGCCAAAUGGUACACAAAUAGAACUUCACUGCAACUACAGGUUGAAUUGUGGUCCAACAUUUAAGUAGUAGGUGCUGGAAAGAAUUACUACUCUUAUGGUUUGGAGAGAUGAUGAUGGAAUCUAGGACAAAAUGUUGCCUUAGGGGAGUGAUCCUUCCAAGAAGCCCUUUGUGAUUGGCAUCAUUAACUUGGGCACAAAUCAAAGCACAUGCUUCUAAAUUCAUGAAUUCCAAGCAAAAUGUUUGUUUAUGAGCAAGUUGAUGUUUGUGGUAUUUAUUGCAGACAAGUAUUUUAUGGCUGUGUUGUGUAAUGGGAUGGCAGAAGAUGGCUGUGGAGAUGAACACAGAAUGCUCAUACUUUGCCAAAUGGGCUCACGUGCCAUCUUCUAAUACUGGUACGUUAACCGGCCAACAUAUCACGUGAUCCCAUCAUUUCUUUGCCUUAUUGCUUAGAGUGCUAUCUUGGAUUGCCUCUUUUUUUUUUAAAAUUUUUUUACGUUUUCGUGAACGUAUUUUUUAAACAAUUUUUUGUAUCUCAUACACAUCAAAUAGCUGGGAGGGGAUUUGGGUGGGUUUAUAAGUCUCCUGAGAAACCUCAAGAGUUGCCGACUUUUGAGGUUUACUCGGAGUUUAGGUUUGUAAAGUCACAAAAGUCUUACGAAAGGCUUUGACAAAAAAGACAAUCGCUUGGAUCGGGAUUAGUGGGGUCUCUUUAAGUUUUAGUAGCAGCUGCCCCCUUACGUGGUUAUCCCACAUCGGGGCUGAGAGGGGAUCUGGGUGGGUUUAUAAGUCUUCUGAGGAACCUCAAGAGUUGCCGGCUUUUGAGGUUUACUCGGGGUUUAGGUUUGUAAAGUCACAAAAGUCUUACGAAAAGUUUUGACAAAAAAAAAAUAUACACAUCAAAUAGCUAUGGUAUUUCUUUUCUACAAAAACUCUAGAAAAUAACAAUCCAAACGGGUUAUAUAGGCAGUACAUUAUUCAUGAUCUAUUUUUCCAAAAGUUAAUAGAUAAUGUUACAGUCACAAUGUUUAUACCAGAGAAAAUUUUCUUGUUGUAUCCUCACAUGUCAAUAUUAAUUCAAGACUAGGAAGGUUGAUUGGAAGGAUAAUUUAAUUUAAUAAUUAAAACCAAAUUUGCUAUGACAUUAAUUCAAGACUAGGAAGAUUGAUUUGAAAGCUAUUUUUUCCCAAAAAAUUUUUACAUUUUUCAUGAACAUAUUUUCUAGUUCACCUUUUAAUCUCACAUAUAUCAAAUCGUUAUAGUAUAUAUUUUUUAUAAAAACUUUAGAAAAUAGCAAUCCAAAUGGGAAUUAUUUCAUUUGUAAGUACAAGUUUUUGAGAACAAAGAGCCAACCAAAGAAAGAAAAGAAAUAAGAGAAACUUGAAAAUUUUUUCAAUUAAGUAUAAAAGUAAAUUUUUCUUACACUGACAUACACUAUCAUCGUUGGAUUCAUGAUAUGUAUGCAAAAGUAGAAUUUCGAAUUCAAAUUUUGCAUAGUUGUCAUUCAUCCAAUGCUGAUAGAGUCACCUUUAGUGUCUUGCUCACCACAAAAUUUGAGUAAGACACCAUCAUUGAUGAACAAUUUUAUUAGAAAUUGUGUUUGGCUCGCAUUUUUAGGAUAAAAAAAAUUACUAUAACACUUUUUUGAGAUGUAUUAUAUGAACGAACAGGUAGUUUAAAAAUGUGUUAAUGAAAUAUUCUCAAAGAACUCAAAAAUUUUUCCCAAUAUUCACAAUCAAACAAACUUGUAUCUAUGUGUUUUUUCCAUUGGUCAUUUUCUAUUUUUUUUAGGUCGAAAAGCUCAAAUCUCUUUUUUUUUCAGCUCAAAAUCACUAUGAAUCUACCAUAACAAUAUGUGUCCUCUUGUUUAACUUACAAGUAGCUACCUCAGAUAUAGAGUGUGUUUGGAUAGCCAAGUAACGGCCAAAAAUUAUUUGCUUACAUCACAAAUAUAAUUUUUAAUAUAAUUUUUAAUCUUUUCAAUUACCUUUUUAUCUCACAUACAUCAUAUCACAAAAAAUGCUACAGUAAUUAUUCCAAAUAGGAAAAAUGAUCGGUCUCAUCUUUCACAUUUCACAAAAAUAUUCUUUUCGUCCCUCACUUAAAAAACGAAUCAAUUUCGUCCUUGACAUUUAAAAACUGAAGUUCUCACAUCCCUGAACCCAAAUUUCAAUCUGAAUCAAACCACCAAUCAACCUGAUUACAAAUUUUGGGGGUGUAAUUGGUAAAUCACUUAGGUUAACUCAACUUGAUAUUCAUGUAAAUUUUAAUGAACCCAAAAAUAAAAAAUAAAAAAAUUAUAACAUAAAAAAGAAAAAUUAAUCUUUCCUACAUUAUCAUUGUACACACUGACAGUUUUUAUGUACCGCCAUAUCAUUUCAAUUUAAAUUUAAACACCAAAUUUUAUAUUUAUGAUACGCAUCUGGAUUCGCAAGCGGAUAUACUGAUGGUGUAUGAAAAGAUUUAUCCAAAAAAAAAAAAAACUCUACUAUUCCAAGACAAAGAAUGGCCUUUUAUGUUAUAAUUUUUAUUUUUUUGGUUUAAUAUAUUUCAUAUGAAUAUGAUGAAAUUGACCGAGUGAUUUAUCAAUUAUAUUUCCGAAAUUUAUUACUAGAUUAUUGAAUGGUUUGACUCAGAUUGAAAAUUAGGUUCAGGGAUGUAAUAGCUUUAAUUUUUAAAUGUCAGGGAUGAAUUUGCUUCAUUUUAAAAGUGAGGAACGAAAAGAAUAUUUUUGCGAAAUGUAAAGAAUGAAACAUGUCAUUUUCCCUUCCAAAUAAUAUUCCAAAUUAGUAUAGUUGUCAUAUUUCUUUCAAGAUUCAAAAUACGCUUAUAGACAGGGUUGUAUUCAUGUAUUGAGUUAGUAUACAUCAAUAAAAUUCGUUCUUAGAACAAAGUGACAUUAGUAUACACCAAAUCAUAUAAAAUAAACAAUUUGUACCCCUCAACCGCUUCAAUUCUUAACUGUAUUUGUCCCAAACCCCAAAUAUAGCAACACAUAAAAAGUAGACUACUUUCUAAAAUCAGUGGGCGAUCAAAUACCAUAGGAAAAAGCUAAACCCUGAAUACUAUUUCAACAAACUAAUUGUUGUAACUUUUUUGACCAACUUAUAUACAUUGAUAUUAAACCAAAAAAAAAAAAAAGAAAAUGAAAAAAUUGACCAACUCAAAAUUUUAUAUGUAAAAUUUUAAGAUUCUGCAGAAGAUUCUGCUACACAACCAUAACUAUUCUGCUUUUAACCAAAAAAAAAAAAAGAAAGAAAGAAAAAUGUUCUUUCAAAGGACCAUCUAUCUUCUCUUUUGCAUAUGCUGUCCCUGAAAUUAAGCAGUACGUUCUGUGAGUGCUCCCUAACCAUCAGCACUCAGCAGUCAAAGAGUACUAUUCCACAGCUAAUUAGGGCAGGCAGACGACCCGCUUGCUCUGGCCACAGCUUUCAUUUCUUCAAGAAACAUUUUUGGUAUUAUUUCUUUUUCCUAAGUGAUGGGUACUCAUAUACCGAAAUCCGCUAUUUAGGACGCGUUUGAUGAAAUUAGAGUCUGAAAACUGAAGUUUGAAAUCUGAAAUGUAAUGUCUGAAUUCAUUAAGUUAUUGAAUUGUUAAAUAUUAAAUCUAAUAUAUUUAAGUGCCUAUCAUAUUUAGUGAUAAGUAAUUAGUUUAUUAUUUAAUUUUGAGAACAAACUUUGUCUAGAAAAUUUAGUGCUACUUAAUUAAUUCAAAUGUCUAAUUUUUAGUUAUUAAACGGUCUGAAUAUGUUAAAAUCUGAUUCCAUUAAUUUUAAUCUUAUAUUAGUUGCAAGAAAAAAUUGGUAUAUAUUAUUAGAAAACAUCCUUGGUGAAAGGAGACUUCCAAGUCCGGCACAUUUGGAUUGUUAUUUUUUGAAAUUUUUGAAGAGAAAUGUAUUGUAGCGAUUUGAUAUAUGUGAAAUUAAAAAGUGAUUGAAAAUUGUGUUCAUAGUAAACGUGAAAUUUUUUUUUAUUAAAAAACUAACCUCAUUUGGAUUGCUAUUUUAUAAAGUAUUUUAUAGGUUAAUGCACUCUAUUGAUUUGAUGUAUGUGAGUUAAAAAGAUAAUCGAAAAAUAUGUUCACGAAAAACGUAAAAUUUUUUUUUAGAGAAUCCUUUGAAAGUUAACUAAAUGAAGAAGGGUUGAUUACCAUUUCUACGUUGAGGCAGGCAAAUGUAUUUGGACAAAUAAAAUGCCAUAUAAGAGGAAACCUUAGAAGUAAAUCACUUUACUUCUUUCAAAGAUAAUAAUUCUGUUGUACAUUUUCGCUCUAAAACAUGCUUUGGUUGUCCCCAAAUGUAACAUUUAUUUAAACCAUGUGUUUUGAGAGUAAUUCUGAGUCUCUGACUUGCAAAUACUAAUAAUCUGUCAUUCUUCCAUUGUUGGUGUUGACAAGUGGGACUUGGAACUUGAUAAAGUUAGUUAAUUUUAUUAUAAAACAGGUAAAAUAAUAAUAAUAAUAACAAUAAUGUAAAUAGCAAGGGCCAUAUUUUACGUGUCAAGUGCCCUUUGGCCUCAAUGAGAUUCCUCUGCAGCAAGCUACUAUGGACACCUGAAUCUGCUUUCUUGGUUAGAGAAGAACCGGAAAAAAGAGGCUGUUUUCUGCAAUGUUCACAUAUUAAUGCCAGUAAUAAUACUCCCCUUUUUUUUUUUUAUAACUGACGUUUAAGAAAUUUACUCUAGUGUACUUUUAUCUGUCAUUUUAUUAUUUCCAUACAGUAUUAAUUAUUUUUUUACAAUUUUACCCUUUUAUCUCUCUUUUCCAAUAAAGGGUUCUUAAUUACUACUCAUUUAGUUUGCAUUGCUUUUGGCUUAGUAAAACAACACCAUUUAGUACUCUAGUAAGAGAAAAUAUGGGUGAAUUGGACAAUUAAUGAGAGUACAAAAGAAAAGUAGUAUACAGAUUUAAACAAUGAAAAACUUUUUUUAAUUGAUGUGUAAAACCUUAAACGUCAGUUGUAAAAAAAUGGAGGGAGUAUCUUUUUAUGGUUUCUGGCCAACAAAGUAAGUAGAUAUAUAAACUAAACUAAGGAAGCCUAGACAUUUUUAUUCUACCAAUGAUUAAUUACUAAUUAGAGCAAUGCCCACCUCCUCGUUUUAGCUGCCCCCAAAAAGUCAGAAUCCUAUGGAGGAGCGGCUCUUGGCUUACAUUCCCUAGCUACUGUUUCACACACAUACAUGUGUAAAUGAUGCAUUCCAUUUCUUACUCUCUUCAUGAUGAUGAUGAUGAUGAUGAUGAUGAUGAUGAUGUCUAUUAAUGCAUAAUGCCAUUCACAACACACCACCACUAUUAGUAAGUAUGUGGUGAUCAAUAGCUAUGGACAUAGAUAGAGGCUUGUUUGUAUGACUAAAUCACUCAAAUUGUUUGGGAGGAAUUUGUUAAAUAUUUGAUAUACAAGUUAGAGUUCAACUUUACAGACUAUCUUGAAAUUUAAACCGUUAAACACGAGGAUCUUAAACUUUUUCCUUUACAAGAAGAAAAACGGCCCUAAAUUGCCGUUCAUUUAGAGGUCGAAGAGGUGUUUGAUCUUGAAUUAUUUCAUCUUAUGAAUGUUAUAUUAUAAUAAAACGUUAAAUCAUAACUUCAUAUUAAUGUUUGUGACUAGUUACAAAAAACUAAGAAGAACAUGUCGAUGAAACCCUUGAAGAUGCAUCACUAACUAAGGUUGUGUUUGAAUUGUAUUUUUCAUGAUUUUGCAUGAAAAAAUUACUGUAGCGAUUUGAUAUAUGUGAGAGAAAAAGGUAAUAGAGAAAUGUGAUCACGGAAAACGACGUAAUUUUUCGAUGAAAAAUCGCAAUUCAAACAGGCCUUGAAAGAGGAGGAGAGUAACACAAAAAAGAUGCAACUCUCUUUGUGUUCUUCACUUGUACCCCAAAAAACCAAAAAAGAAGGGUUUACCACAAAGGUGGCUCUUUGAUUUGUCCCAAAACGAGACGGGCAAACAGUCCUAAGAUCUUGAUUGACGUGCAUCAUCAUGUAUGAGCAUAAUGAUGUGCACAGAAGAUGAGAGCAAGGCACAUGAAACCUAGCAAAUCUGCAGGGGUAAGAAAACUGUGGUGUGGCAGUUAAGAGGAGUUGGAAAAGGGGGGAAGGGAUGGGACUUGAUUAGGGGAUUAAGAACGUGCCCGGCCUCUGAUUGUUUGCAGGCAUGUCUGUGGCGAGUGGUCCAUUGCACCUUUCCCAUUUUCCCAUCAAGAUCCCUACUCCUCUCUCUGUGUCCACCAUUUUUAAUUCUUUCAUACCAUCUCUUCUCUCUUGCCAGCAUUGCAUCAUACCAAUGCAUUUUUUUUUUUCUUUUGAGGACAAGUUUCCAGCGUUGGAUUCCAGCAAAACCUCCGAUUUGCAUCUGUCACACUGUAGUCUAUACUAUGCUACAACUUACAUUGCAUAGCUAGUAGCCUAGUACAUGGUACAAAUUCAUCGAGAAAUAUACACUUAAUAAAGAUUUGCUUGGUACGCUCUCGAUUUCUCUCGUGCCCCUACCUCGAGGUCAAGACUUUUUUUUUUUUUUUUUUAAAUAAUAUGAAGUUUGAGUGUGUUUAAUUUCAAUCACGAUCAAUCAAGAGGCAGGACAUACUUCUGAAAUCAUAAGUCGUUUAUAGAAUUUUUUAUGAAUCGCUCACAAAUUCUGUCAUUCUCACAUGAGCAGUGAGAUUCGAACACAUGAUCUUUUGUAAUGAAGCGGACCAUUUUUGCAACUAAAACCAACUUGCGUUGGCAACAUUACUGUUGAUUAUCCAACAUUCGAUUUUCUGAAAAGUAUCAGCUAAACCCCUUAAUGGUAAUGCUAAUAUUUUGAUAAAAAUAAACAUGUGAAAAGAACAUUCUUGAGGAUGUAUUCAACCACGCUAAUGUUGGUGAAAUUUUCAGCAACAUAAUUCUGCCUCGCCACAUUUUUUUAGGUGUAAUUAUGCUAACACCUUCUUUGUCUUGGGUUUAAUUUUGCCUUUCGUGUAAAUAAAAGGCGUAGCAUUCAUUACCUAUGUUUGGUGUUAGGUUAACCGAAUAUGACUUUGUUGUUGUGUUUUGGUUGUGGUGAAAAGAUGUUCCCAAGAGCUGGUGCUGAUACAAUUAAAGACAUAAAAUCAUGCUAAGAAAUCUAAACAAUCCACUGGGGUAAAAAAAAAAAAAAAAAAAAAAAAGUGGGAUAAAAUCAUGCCAAUGAAAUCAUCCAUGAAAAAAAAAAAAAAAAUCCAUCUAUGUGCUUCCCAGUACUAAAAUAAAAUGCUAAUCAGCUAAUAGCUUGCUGGAAGUUAGAGUACCCCCUAAUUAUUCUUUCUUGAUACUCAAAAUGUCUUCUUUAUCACCCCCUAAUUAUUCUCAAUAUACCAUUUAUGUUGUCCUAAAAUUAUUUGUUAUUCCCAAAGGCCCAGUUAGACUAUUGCCCUUUCCUUUUUAGUACUGGGUUUGUUUGGAUUGCUUCAUAUUUCCCCAAUUUUAUUUGCUUACAUCAUCUUUACAAUUUCCAAUACACCUUUUUAUCUUCCCAAUAUCUUUUUAUCUCACAUACAUCACAUCACAAAAAGUGCUACAGUAAAAAUAUUCCAAAUAACUUACAAUCCAAACAGACCCAGUGUUUAUUGUGGCAAAGUAGUACAAGAAAGCAAAUACUUCAUAAUUUUUUAUAGUACUUUUUGAAACAUAAUAUAGUAGUAAAUAAAAAAUUGAUCACAAAGACAUAAAAGAUUGUAAAAGAACUUGUUUUCAAAAUCUCAAAGAAAUUUUUUUUUCCUAAAUGACCCUCGUCCAAACAAAGAUGUAUAAAUUCAGAACCACCGUAUGGUGACAUGCAUGCGAACGAUUGCUGCCGACUCUCGUCUAAUUUGAGGUCGAAUUUAAGUUCGAGUUUGGCCUUGGUUGGAUUGCUGUUUUCCGUCGAAAAAUUAUGUCGUUUUCCGUAAUUACAUUUUUCUAUUACAUUUUUUCCUCACAUACAUCAAAUCGUUACAAUAAUUUUUUUAUGAAAAAUCAUGAAAAAUGCAAUCCAAAUACAACCUUACAUUAAAAAUUCAAUGAUCUCAAGUUUAAAUUCGAGCUUGGUAAAAUUGGAUCGAGAUUUAAUUCGAUUAGAUCAAAAUUUGAAUUUAUUCGAUUCAUUUGUCUCUCUAAUUUUAUCAUAACAAAAAAAAAUUACCAAAGUAAAAGGAUUUGAAAAAAAAAAAGAAAAAGAAAGAGAGGAAGAAAGAAAAUCCUGCACAGCACUCAACACAUCAUUUACUCGAAGGCAAAAGUGGGGGCGUGUGACUGUGUGUCGCAGUAAAUGAACAUUUCAUAAUGAUAUCAUAUCCAUCAGCAAAGGCCCAAAUAUAUUUACUAAAACAAUACGAAAUCUGAAAAGACAGCAGUGGCAUUGACGAUAUAAAUCCCAACAUUCAAGGUCCAUUCCUUAACGUAACCGCCCUCCCAUCCUUCCCCCCAUUAUUUUGCACGCUUCACCACCCUUCCCCACUCCCCACCUCCUAUAGUCCCUUUCGCAGAAAAAAAUGCUGUUCCCGGAAAAUCAAGAACUCGAAAUUCCCACCACCACCACCUCCUCCUCCUCCUCCUCCACCGCCACUCAAACACUCGAGAAAUGUGAUCCCACCACCGCAAUGAAUGAGCCCAUGAACAUGCUCACCGAUUACUAUGACAUUGAUAGUACUUGCUCCACCCCAUACGUAAGUGCACCCUCUAGCCCGGGCCGCGGCCAGGGUGCACCCGUCACCGGCUUUUACUACAGUGCUCCGGCGAGUCCUAUGCAUUUCAUGCUUUCUACGGCCAUGAGUAGUUGUAACAGUAACGACUUAGGACUGUCUUCCCAACCUGAAGUUUCCCCUACUUCUUCCACUUGCUCAUUCGAGUUCGAUUUCUCAGCCAGUAAAGUUUCCACCAAUGGGACUUCAUCGGCCGGAUCCAUGAGCUCCGCUGACGAGCUUUUCUUGAACGGCCAGAUCCGGCCCAUGAAGCUGUCCUCCCACCUCCAGAGACCUCAAGUUUUAGCCCCGCUCCUGGAUUUAGAUGUGGCUGAUGAUGAAGUUGGCGAAAUUGUUAGAGGAAGAGAGGCGAAGAUGCGGGAUAGAUCCUUGCGGAGGAGGACUAGAUCUAUGUCACCCCUGAGGACUAGCUCGAGCCCAUUCGGGUGGCACGAUGGAGGCGAUUUUGAGGAUGAUAGAUCAGGUGGAAUUUUCGAGGACAAAAAGCAGCUGGCUGCUGCUAAAAAUGGCGAGGAAGAAGAAGCUGUUUCGGGCGAGACGACCCCGUGCCAGUCUGGUGCGUCCUCGAGAUCUUCAUCCGUGGGGAGGAGUUCGAGUAGAUGGGUUUUCUUGAAGGAGUUUCUCUAUAGGAGUAAGAGUGAAGGAAGAAAUAAUGGGCACAAGUUUUGGGGGUCUCUGUCAUUUUCACCUGUUAAAGACAAGAUCAAAAUGGAGAAAUUAAUGCCAACAAAGUUCCCAUCACUUCAUUCUUCGUCUUCUUCUUCUUCCUCUCCUAAGGAUAAAGAUAAAGAGAAGGCCUCUCCCACAGCUGCAGCAACAGUUUCACCUGAUUUGUUGGCAACAGAGUCUGCAGAUGGGAAAAGAGCAAAACACACUGGCGCCCAAAAAGAUGGGAAGAAGAAGGUGGCGGUAAAUGGGGUUGGAAAGAGAAGGGUUCCUCCAUCACCUCAUGAACUGCAUUAUACUGCCAAUAGAGCUCAAGCUGAGGAGAUGAGGAAGAAGACAUUCUUGCCAUAUAGGCAAGGAUUGCUUGGUUGUUUGGGAUUUAGUUCCAAAAGUUAUGGUGCCAUGAAUGGUUUUGCUAGAGCUUUGAACCCUGUUUCUUCAAGGUAAAAAUAAAAAGGGGGAAGAAGAUUAUGUAAAAUAAGUUAAAAAAAAAAUCUAUGAUCAUUAGAUUAGAUUAUCCUUUCAUGGGGUUGAAAAUUAUUACUAGUUGGGGAAAAAAAACGUAAAGUGGGGUUUGUAUAGAAACUUUCUUUUUAAUUGUGCCUUCUUCACUUUUCAGUGUAAUUUUGGGAUCUGCCUUUGUAUGUAGUUAACUCUACUACGAAUUUGAUGGCGAUCUCUUCGUUGGAAGGUUGGAAAUAGAAGAAGUUUGUUGAUUAAUUGUGAUGGAUUUGUUUAGCCAUUCUUGGCAAACUAUUCCUUAGAUCCACAAUUUUCUUCUGUUUGUUGUCUGGAUGAACAAUCCACCAGAGAGUUAGUAGCUCCAAUAAGUCAAAGCAUCUAUUCUAGCCGACUAAUCACUUUUUGAUCUCAUCUCUAUUGUUCAGUUCUUGACGUUUUCUUUGGUAUUUUUGGCACUUGUUUAGUAGACCAUUUUUCAGUGGUAGUUGUAAUCUAUUUGACCAACUUGCUGCAUAAUCGUAACGCAAUAAUUUCCCUGGUUCCCCUGAGAGACAGAGGUCUCUUUCCAUCUCUCUCAAAAGCAACAAACUUUCUGCUGAGCCAUGAUGCUUGGCAGCAGAUGAUGCACAGGGGUCUGAAAGAGUAAAUCCAUCCGUGUUGUUGCAGAGACGCAUAUUGUUUCAAGAAACAAUGAUCAUGUAGUAGCAGAAAAUAACAGCUCAAUUUGGGGCGUGGAUGAUGGAUGAGAAUUCUGCUAGUACCUGUUACUUCUGUUUUCAUCCUUUUGUUUUUAUGCCUUCCAAAAGAUUCCUGAACUUAUUUACGUUAAAAUUUGUGAUUAGAUGGUUGCAACUGAAAAGCGAUGUUAAUUCCAUAUGCCAUACCUUUGUCCUUUCUUGGACGAGUAAAACCUUUAAUAAAAAGAUGGAAAAAAGAAUGAAAGGGGUUAUCUUUUUCCGUUGCAAAGGUGAUGCAAUAGAUUUUUUCCUUUUCUUUUCCUUUUGGGGCAAUUGAGGUCGUGAGAGAUGGGUGGUUUUGUUUCGACUAUAACUCUUUGCUCCGACGUCGAAUUCGAGUGCCCGUUUACGGCAUUAAAAAUUAGACACUUUCAAUUUUUCAACGGUAUAAAAUGCAUGCUCUGAUUCCACCUGAGUGAGCCCUUUAUCAAAUAAGAAAGAAUGUACAUUUGCUUAAACUUAAGACAACGUCUUAAAAGAGCUUCACUCGAUUGAAAUUCAAGAUUCAAAAACGAGGAUUUAAAGUCACAAAGAAACUUAUAUCCUCCAUGAAAUCAGCUACAUGAACAGAAGUUACACGAAAGUCCCUAAAAGUUUUCAUAAUUGAAUAGUUUUACCAAUUACUUUUAGAAUUCAUCUAUUUUAGGCAAUUCCUUUAACCAUUUCACAUUUUUCACUUAACAAUACAAGAAAAAAAGAAACCCUUUUCUAAGUAAUCUUGAUUCCAAACGGAUUAAAAGUUGCCAAGAAAAGAAAGUGAAAAAUACUACUAGUGCAACCUCAUUGAUCAAAUAUUGAACUGUUCAUGCUGCAUGAUGCAUGGGAGGCAAAAGCUUUAGAGGCCAUGUUAGAUUUUUGAUGCAAUUAUUUGAUGGAUGCUGUCCUAGGUGAGCCCUUGUUAGGUAUGGGGCUAGGCCCCAUCUUCUACAAUUGCAAAAUUGGCUGUGUUGCCUGAUAAACAAAUGUGACAAGGACACGUAGCUGUUUCUGGUUGUUUUUUCCAAGGGCCAGCCUUGAUAAAAGCAUAUGCAUUCCCAGAUUGAUUGAAAAAAGAUGAUCAUUUUUGGAUAAAUUAGGGCCUACCGUAAUCCAAUUUGGUUAAUUAUACAAAGUCCAUUUGAGGGAGACGUUGAAAAGUUUCUUCGGAGGUUAAACAAAGCGUUUUGUCUUUGUCAUCUUGAUAUUAUCUUUUCUAUGAUCUUUCUCCAGUGGAAAUAGACCGAUCCUGAUAAUUUCGGAGUCGGCAAGUUUUGGGCUUCUGGAUUGACAGGUUGGGAGCGCAACUUAUUGCGCAAGUUCUGUGAGGAUAUAUGCCUAGAGGUGGCAAUCGGGUCGGGGUCGGGGUCGGGGUCGGGUUGAGGUUUAAGUAUAACAAAGAACCUGCUGACCCGAACCCGACCCGUCAACUCGAAACAGGUCAGGGUACCUGACACGAACUCGAAAAUUUCGGAUUGGCGGGUCGACCCGAAAUGAUCCGAAACUUAAUUUUAAUUUAUUAAUUUAUCACUGUAAUUUCUAAUAAAAUCAAUUUUUCACAAAAUUAAUUACAUCAUCAAGUAAUAAAAAUUUAAAUAAAUAAUUUCAAAUCAAAUCUAAAAUAAAUUAAACACCAUAAAAGUGUUUUAUCCCAAACCAAAUAUAAAAUAAAUUAAAACAGCAUAAAAGUAAAAAAUAACAUAAUAUAUUAUUUGUCCAAAUAUAAUAAUUUUAACUUCACACAAGUUAAAAAAAUUCAUUUAGGAUUAAGUAAUUAAUGCCUUUGGAAAAAAAAUGAUUUAGUUUAGUUAGAUAAAAUAAUUUUUAUGUUUAUUAAAUUAGUUUUAAUUCGUAAACGGGUCACAUCGGGUCAUAUCAGGUCACCACGGGUUGAUCCGAAAUUGACAUGUUUUCUUUUCGGGUUCAUCGGGUUCAACCCGAUUCUGAUCCGAACUCUCGAAACCUCAACCCAGACCCAUUAAUUUCGUGUUAGGUUCGUGUCGUGUUUUCGGGUCUUGUCAGGAAUUGCUACCCCUGUAUAUGCCAAUACAAUGCAUUUAUUAAUUAAUUAUUACCCCAGCACCUUUUUUUCCCUGACGUGAGCCGCGCCUUCUAUUUAAUAGUUAAAACAUUUUACGAGACUCGAGGGGGUUUCUUUUAUUAGUACCUUUUUUUUAAUUCUUUCUGUCUCAGUGACAUUUUUUUCAUCUCCAACUGUUAGGUAUAGAAUUUGAACAUUUUCCCAUCUCGAACUAUUUGAUAUAGAAUUUGAGCUCUUAUCCGCAGACCCAUUCAAUCAUAGGUUUGGUUAAAUUAUUCAUUCAAUAAUUUGAUCUCUUAUAAAUUCUGUUAAUGAUAUUGACUGAUCCAAUAUGCACCAAAUAUAUAAUCAUAUCAUUUUAUUUCUACACAUUAACAAAAGUGAAUGCAAGAUACAUGUGUUAAAUCUGAAGUUCAACUUCAAAUUGGAAGUAAUUAUAUCAUAUACUUACGCCCACUAAUAUAUACAUAUAUAUAUAUAUAUAUAUAAUAUAAAUGAAUGACUAAAUUGUAAAUGCCCAACCCCUUGGUCUUCUCUAACAUUUGAAGUGAGGAGGUGGCAUGAUUUGAUUUUUCUUUUUCCUAAAAUGUACAUUUUGGCCAAUCCAACAUGUGGUGUUCUCUCUCCUAAUAAAAUCUAAUCAGAAAAAAAAGAAAAAAAAACUUGUGGUGUUUGGACCUGCAACUUGUGCAAACUCAUGCAGCUCCAAAUGGAAGGAUUCUUAAUAGGGCUUUGAUUGGGUCGGUUUGUCUCCCGGAGUUUGACAUGAAGAAGGUUGAUGGAGACAUGGAUUUGCAUUUCUAUUCUAUUCCUUUUCCUUCUCCACUUUUAUGAUGACUAUUGAGGGUUGUUUCCCCUUUUUGCCAUUCUAUCAGAAUAACUUUUGCAUCAUCAUCAUUUCCUGUUGGUUAAAAGGUUUCAAGUUGUUGUAUUACUUGCUUUUGCCACCCACCCAAUAGUGUAUCAGCAAAGAUUUCAGCAAUCCACAAAGCAAAAUCAGAGUAGUUUAUUGAUACGCCACUAGUCAAUAUUUGUGUUCUAGCCUUCAAGGGACCACCCAUAAUAUAGGAUGGAUAAAUGUAACUUUCCUUCACGUACCUAGAUUUGUCUAGCAAGCGUUCGUGGACACUCGAUAAGGUGUAAUUCAAGUAUAUAUAUUUUGAAAAUGUAUAUGCAUUCAAAUGAUAUGUUAAAUUUACGUAUUCACAUGUUAUGUUGAAUAUAAUUUAAACGCUUUAAUGACUGUUCAAUAAACAUUCGUUACAAAAUCAUAUAUCUAUGUCAUUAUCUCAUUGAAUUGUUUCUUAGCAUAAAGAGGUAUCCAUCUUGGCGUCACUCAUUUUUUUGUGAUACUAAAAGAUGGCAUUGAUUAUCUAACAUUUCAAUUGUAGUAGUUUUUGGGUCAAACUUGAAUGAUUUCUUAAGAUGUAUGAUUAAAAUUGAAGAAAUUUUACACAAAUCAAGCAUGCAAUAGUAUGCAAAGAUAUGACUGUUAAUUAUUUCUAUAUGCCUCAUUUCCUAUAUUCUUGAUGAAAGAUAUAACAUGAAACCCCUAAACUACCAACAUAUAACGCCUAUGUUAGAUAGAUGAUGCUGGAUAUAUAUAUAUAUAUAUAUAUAUAUAUAUAUAUAUAUAUGUUUAUAUAUAUAAGCAAUAUCAGCCCACAACAUUUUUUGGUUUUAGUACAUAACUACAAUAUUAUAAAAUGGAAAAUGAUAAUUUGUGGCUUGUGACAAAAUUUACUCUCACAUAUUAACUCUGUACUUGUCACACUAAGCUGGUGAUCGUUAAAAAAAAAGUUACAAAACUAUUUUGCACUUUCAUCAUAUGUCAAAACAGUUUGAGAAUCAAAAUGACUUCUCCUUCAUAGAUAGUUUCUGUUUUUCUGAAAACAAUUCCAAGAAAAAGUAAAAAUGAUCACUUGAGAUUGUACCAUCUGCAGGGAUUGGAAAAGCAAAAAACAAAUAUAUUGCUGUAGAUUUCACCCAUCCAUAAAAAGGUUGGUCAAAUUCCUAUGUUUGUUACUGCAUCAGUGAGGUUGCCUGCAGAGGUUACGAGGUUAAAGAACAUGUUUCUGGUAAAAUCUAGUACAAGAAGAAUUCAGAAGAACCUUUUCACAAAUUGCUCCGAAUAUAUAUAUAUAUAUAUAUAUAUAUAUAUAUAUAUAUAUCAGUACUGACCAAGGGGUCCUUUAGCCAUUGAAAGUCCAUGAAUUCUAAGCCUGCAAAAAGUGCUUGAAAUGAAGACAGUCGUAUCAAACCAAAGCAAAGAAAACAACACCAGACAUAAGAUGAAGGGCCCGAGUGACAGACAGCCUUUGCUUCAUUAUUGUGGCAAUGGCAUCAUUUGCCAGACUAUGUAUGUAUGCAUCAAUGAGCAGCAGCAGCAGCAGCUUAUGAUUGUCAUGAUUCAUGGCUUUUGAGUUUGAGCAAAAGAACCCAUAUUUUGGGAGUUCUAUGAGGAAUGUACUCUUUUCUUGGCUAGGACGCAGAGCUGAGCCAGCUUGCUAGGCUCAAUGUCCACCAAACCAAGCUAAGCAAAGGAAAGGAAAGCAAAUUGGAGACAGUUUUUCACAUUUCUUCUCUAGUUCUUUCCUUGAGGUAAAAGGGGGACCAAAAAAAAAAAAAAAAAAAAAAAAAAAAGAAACAACUGUAAUUAAAUAUUUGUGUGGUUACGAAGUUAUAGAAGUGGGAUUUUGUUAAUCAGUCCAUCAUCCAAUGACCAUCUCCUCUUCAUUGUAGGUUUUUUAUCAUUUCAUCUUAUCCAACUCUACUGCGUAUUUUAGUGCAGGGUCCUUUGACAUUGUAGUUUCUUGUAUACAACAGUCACAUACCAACCUUUUGUGAUUAGGGUUGCGGAAGGAAUGAAGAUAGUAAUUUUGGGAGAGGGAAGGGAGAAUGAAGACGUAAAAAAAACAGAGUCGUAAUGCAAAGUAGUAGUAGUAUUUUCUUGCAAUCGAAAAUGGAAGGUGAUCUGAAGAUGCAUGUGACGCUGAAUUCAUGUAUUGCUCCUGAGUUGUGUAUGGUCACACACAACCUAGAAACUAAUAGUAGAGAGUUGCAGGAUUUCGACAAAGUCACCGCCGUUCAGCUUCCCUAAUGUACUAGUGUGUGUGUGGCAAGGUCACGCAUGGCCCGACUACAAGUGGAGUGGAAAAUUGUGUGGUUGGCACCUUAGAACUGCUUCCAACGUUGUUCGUUCGGAGGCACCUAAAAGAUGUUGGCUAAUUAUUCAUUCAUACUGCAGACUCUGGUUUCUGGGGCUUUAGCAGACAAAGCUGAUACCCUGAUGCAGCUCUUAAAAUAUAGGUUAAUAUCCGUUCAACUGAUAUCUUAUUCACCACAUUAUCUGCAAAAUUUCGUUCUGAUUUCUAUGAUAAUAUCGAAAUAAAUAUCUGUACUACCUACCUUAACCAAUGCAGUUGUUUCUUAAAAAACUCCCCAAGUUGAUUCACCAAGGCAUCCUCAUCAGAUUGGAUACAUCCAUUGAAAACGAGAAUAAAGAGCAAGACUGCUACAGGCGGGAGUAGGAAAUGUCUUGCGGGAGCAGGAUGCUGUCUCAUUCAAAAGUCAAAGUCAUAAUAAGCAUUUCCUACUAUUAAAUAUUCGUGUUAUUCCUGCUCGUAAAACUGCAAAAUGUUCCACUUUUUCCCAAAUCUACCUUCUAAACAUACUUCAGGCGCGGAAAUGCGAAAAAAGAAAAAAGAAGCAAAUUAAGAGUAACAAGAUGAUACAAUUCCCAAGUGUUGGGAAAGCCUGGAUGGCAGACGACUG
This 67192-nucleotide long non-coding RNA is filed under the name Coffea arabica (coffee). RNAcentral describes it as "long non-coding RNA (CARA_LNC001386)". The record is from RNAcentral. Lineage: Eukaryota; Viridiplantae; Streptophyta; Magnoliopsida; Gentianales; Rubiaceae.